GGGCUUAACUCGAAUCCAUUCUCCAUCGGUUUUUCGCUUUACUUCCAACCCUCCGACAUCAUCCUGAGCAAGGAUGGUUAAGGCUCCGCCAUCCUUGUGGCGACCAACGCCCAGAGCUAGGUGAGGGAUGGGGCAAGGUGGGUAGUGAUUGAGGCGGAUGAAGUUCGUUGAUUCUUCAAAGAAAAGAUUGAAUCUGUUUUCUGGCAAACCUAAACUCAACGAGAUGAGUCCCAACAGCUUGAAAGCUAAUUUUUCCAUUUCUCUAGCAUACUCUUCACAUACCUCCCUAUAUAAAUCAGUUCAAUUAGAACAAAAAAGAUAAGUAAUUCACUGUAGUGAUUGUGCCUUAGCUGGUGAAAUUUGUACCUUAAUUCAGGAGGGUACUGAGGCCACUGAUUGGUCAGCUCUUUGAGCUCCUUGUCGUCAGGAUCAGGCGAAACAGGGAUCACGGUGGGGGUUGAUACCACGAAAUCAAAGACUUCCUUCCAGUCCCUAACGUUCUUGGUAAGCUCGGAAUCAAAAUACCCCAAAGGAUUCACCUCAUCUCUACUCACCUUCCUCUUCUCCUCCAAUGGCAGAGCGAAGAAUUUUCUAGCCGCAUCCUCAAUUUUCCGGCGAGACUCCGAGGGCACCCCAUGGUUGAUUACUUGAAAGAAGCCCCAAUUCUUGGAUGCAUCAGCUAUUUGAGAAACAUGGUUGGAAGCAUUGGCGGAAGAGAGAUCAAUGAGGGGUGUUGGGACGUCAUUUGUUUUGAGUAUAUUUGGCUCUGUGCCAGUCAAGGGCGUCACAGAGUGGCCUCCCCAGGAUUCAAACCCAAGUCCAAGACUUAAGGACGAUAAGGUUGCCCUCCUGGUACCAUCUGUGCUGCACGUCCCAACAAGGGGGAUGCCUUCAGCUUCGAUAACAGCGAGCUUAGGCCUAUGUUGGGUGUCUUGGAUGAAGGCUGGAUCGACCUCUCCCAUGGCUGUGGCUGUGGCUGCAGGUGAAGAUGGUGACGGGAACUUGGGCCACUUGGCAGGCGGUUUUUGUAGUGUGGUGGGGUUGGUUUAGUACAUUGAACCUGGACAUAAUUUGGGUUACGUUUUAAGGUUUGGUUGAGGGUGUGACCUCAUGGAUUGCGCAUAUAUUAAUGAUAAUUGGUCAAGUGAUACUGCAGUCCCAAAGGGAAUCUCUCUCAAUGAUUUUACCGACAGCUCCCUCCACGUUCAAAUGUUUGAUCCGUAUUUGAAUUGGAGUCUAAUGCUCUGAUCAAAGACACCUUUCGCUUAGUCGAUCAGUGUUUGAUUACUAAAUAAGAUGGUAUCACAAAUAUUUUUGAAUUCUAGGUCAAAGUUAACGAGCGUCAUCAAUUUGAUUUUAUAAGAUAAAUUGUUUAGAAAUACUUUUAAAAAUGAUUCUUAAAAAAUAUUUUUUUAAGUUUAAAAACCAUUUUUAAAACACUUUUAUAAUUUUUUAGAAUAAAGGUUUAUUUAAAAACUUAUAUUAUUAUAAACUUAUUUUUUAUUUUUUUAAUAUUUUUUAAAUAAUUUUUAUAUAUAAUAUUUUAUUUUCAACCAUUUUUUAUAUUUAUUCUUUUUUUUUUUUAAAAAGGUAAAACUAUUAAAAAUACUUAAAAUAAGUUAUCAACAAAUGCCUAAUUGUCAUGACAAUUUUCAAAAACAUGUUUUAAAAACAAUUGAAAAUCAAAGUAUUUUCAUAUUGCUUUAUUCUCAAAAACAAAAAAUUAUUCUUGGUAACGGUUCCAAAUGUAUCCUUCAUUUGGUUAUCUUAUUAUAUAAGUUUUAAAAUAAAAUACAAAAAAUAAUUUUCAAUGAUAAUUUGUUAUGGUUUUAUCCAAAAAUUUGAUAUUUUUAAUUAAUUAAUUUAUUGAUACGUAUAUUCCCACACAUAUUUUCAUAAAUGGAACCAUAUAAAAAAAUAUUGAAUUAAAAAAAAUAACACAUGAAAUGUGGAAAAAACAAAACACAAUAAUGGUGAAAUUAUGAUUUGUUCAAAAGAAGAAAAUAAUAGUUAGAUUGAUUUGAAAUUUGUUAGAAUCUUUUCUUUUUUUUCUUGAAUUAAUGUGGAAGUUUCAUGACAAGUAAGAAGAAACAACAAGAAUCUUAAUUUUUUUUUUUAAAAAAAAGAAUCCCGAAUGUUCAAGAAAAAUGCAAGAGUUUAAAAAAAAAAGUAGAGUAGAGUUUUUAGUGAGAAAAAGGUAAGAUUAAAAAUGUCUUAUAACAAGAAAAAUUAAUUAAAUCAUUAGUUAGCCAUUUGGUCUCAUUCUUACACAACGACUUCUCUCAUGGCUGCCCAACAUGUAUGAAUAGCUCUCUACAACAAAUAAGGUGCACUUAAUUAAAAAGUUGUUUAAUUUAAAGAUGUUCGAGAAUGAGAACUUCAAGUAGCACUUGAAUGAAUUUAAUGAGAUCACAGAUUAAUUAAAUUUGAUGAUAAGAUUCAAGCUUUAUUAAUCCUCAAUUAAUUGUCUGAGAGUUGGAAAGACACAAUUAGUAGUUCAUCCAGAAAAAUCAAAAUUGGUGUUCUUGAAAGUAGUAUACAUGAUUAUAACCGAGGAGAUUAGGAAGCAUGAAGAAGGGUUUUCCGAUUCAUGAUCAACAUUAAACAUGGAGAGCAAAGGUAGAAAUCAAAAUAAAGGUAACAGGUGUGAUAAAUCCAAAUCGAAGAAUGAUAGGUUGAAAUAUAGAAAUUCCAUAAAUUCCUAACACCAGACAAGUAAGAAAGAUAUCAAAUGUUAGAAUUGUGAUUGGAGCUAAAAUAUGUGCUCUAAUGACAUAUAUUUGAUAUGAUUUCUGCACCAUAAGACACUCAAAUCAUCUAACUCUACCCAAAUUGAUGCUAUGGCCUUAACCACGAGUUUAACUUGUAUUUGGAGAUUCAUCUUAGGUUUAAGGGAAUAAAAAGGUACAAGUUGAAUCACUUUAGAUUUUGAAAGAAUAAGAAGGGGUUAAAUGAGAAAAUGAACAAGUCAAGACUCAUGAAAUAUGAGGAAAGGCAAGAUGAAGAUAUCACGAGUUUGAGAGAUAAGGAAUGACCAUUAUGAAGUAAGAAAUAAGGCAUACAAACAUAGAAAAUGAGGCAUGAAGCUAAAUUCAUCAAGUUUGCAUGGAAAUUUGGGACCCAAAAUCUGGUGGUAACAUGUACUCUAACUUUAAGAUGAAAUUUGAAGCAUUUCCCAAAGUCCAUUUUAGGCAAGCUAUAUAUUGUUUUGAAGCUCAGGAAGUUAGGAAUUCAAAGCUUUAAAUGAUGUGCAAAUUAGAGGUAAAUAAAGAAGUUAUGCACAUUUAAAGCAAACUGGUUAGAGAGGAAAACUGAGUUCAAAAUUGGUAACUUGGAUUUGAAAUGAUUUUUGUCCAUUUAAACUCAGAGGAAUGAAAUAAAACUUUUGGAAUAGGCUAAGUUUGAAUCUCUCUACCUAUUUCAAACAAGAAGCAUACAUUUCAAAGCUAAACGAACAUGCAUGGGCAAUGAGUGUGUUCGAAAUUCAUUGUGAAUUUUGAACUCACCUUGUUGAUUUCAAAUUGGACCAUUUAUUUCCCACUUAUGAGUUCAAAAUUGAUUUGGAACUCACCCAAAUUUCGAACUCAACCACUAGUGACCGAUUUUGAGCUCCGAGACAUGUCAAAAUGAGUUUCAAAUGCCUCUAUCCAAUUCAAAAUGCAUCAUACUCAUUUAGAACUCGUAAUUUUUGGGGCUUUUUUUAAAAGUUAUUUAUGACUUUUUGUUGUAAUAAGUGGCCAAUGAGAGUGUACCACAUGUUAAGUCAUUGAAGUUACUAUAUAAACUCUUUUAAUUCUAGAGUUUAGGUGAUUUUCCAAGAGUUAGACAUUUUGUAUGGAAGAAUACAAGAACUUUGGUUUAUUUCUUUUAUUUUUAUUGAAUAUAUUGUUUGUAGUUUCUUUUGAUUCAAAUUAUGAAUUUUUACACUAUUAUGGAUUGUGAAUGUGACAUUACCCCUAAGAGAGGAUAAAAAGCUAACUUGGGGCUUAAAACAUAAAAACCUAACGGUUAGAAAAUUUAUAAGGACACUAGGUAAAUUAUUAUAAUAAUAAGAUUACUUAAUGGUUGAGUUACAAUUUAUUAAUUUUUUAUCCUAUCAUUGUGAGUUAGUUUGGAGAAUAAUAUAGUAGGUUAUUAUUCGAUACUAGUGAUUCUUGGUAACUCUUUAUCAUUAGUUAUCCUGAUUUUCCUUAUGGUUAUCUGCCCCAAAACAAAGCUAUAAGGAGUAGGAAAUGUUAAAAAGCCAAACCUUAAAAUGAUUGUAAUCUCAUUCAUUUGAUGGCUUUAAGAAUUUGUUUUUUGUUAAAAAAAAAAAUAGGUUUUAGAUGUAAUUUUGAGUUAUAAGGCUCAAGUUGAUCGUAAGCGACCAAGAAUUCUAAAACCUUAAGAUCACUCUUGAUUACUACUCAAAAAGUGCAAUUUCAUAGCUUAUAAUUAACUCUUUUAAACACUUUUGAGUAGUAGUUAUUGCCUUUUAACCCAAUUAACAUGUUAAGGACCCUUGCAAUCAUUUCUAAUCAAAUUGUGUAAGUUUUGGUGUUUUUGUUAGUAAUUUGAUCACCAAAACAAUCCAAGAAUGAGGGAGAAUUGUAUAUAGUUCAUGGCAAAGCUUUUGGAAGCUCAAAUUCAUGAAGAACCAAGCUUUGGAGCUCCAUAGCCCUUUGCCAAAGUCGUUCAAAGUAUGCAAGGAGAGAAGCAAGGAGAAGAGGAAAACAGAGUGAAGAAAACAGAGGACAAGCAGCUUCAGUCUUCAUGCGCACUUUUGGAGCACUUCCCGAAGUCCAUUUUCUACAUUCUAUAUACCAUUUCAAAGCUCAGGAAGUCAAGAAUCCAAUGAUUCAAACGGUGCGCGAUUCGGAGUUGAAACGAAGGAGUUACAGCCAUUGCAAGCAGAUCACUCCAAAGUGUUGCGAAAUCAGCCUUUUGUUGCGAGAAUUUCGCAGCCUUUUUGUACAGUGCUAUGGAAUUCCUCCUGAAGCUACCCGAUACAUGCCGCAAGCUGGAACACUGAGAACCUCAAGGUGGAAGCCAAUUUCGCAGCCCUCUUGAGUGUCUGCGAAAUCUCGCAGACACCAUUUUCACCUGCGAAAUGUCCUUAGUGCUUCCUGAUAUUUGUGCACCGACUCUUUUAGAUCUUUUCUUCAGAUAUUUUUGUAUAAAUUUCCAUUCUUCUCCUUGUAAGCCACCAACCACAAGAUUUCUUAGCUAGGAAGGUUGGAAAAACUCCUCUAUAUAUAUUCCCUUGCAUCCAAUGUAAUCAUAUAUAUCAUAUAUAGAAUAUACAGAGCCUUGCUCUGUUUUUCCUUCUCUUUCAUUUUUCAUUUACUUUUCUUUCUAGCCAACCAAACUCUGAGGAUUUUUCCACAGAGGAUGAGAGGCUAAGCUUUUUGUCUCUUGGAGUGAGGAAAGCCGGGUAAGUUUCCACAUGCAUAAUUUGGAAGUUUUGUUGUUUUAGUUUUUAAUGAAGAGAAAGUGUGACCCGUUAGUGAUUUUUAUCUUUUUAGUUAACUUAAAACGCCUUUAAAUCACCUGGGCCAACACUUGGUAAGGCAAGUGAUUUCCAACCAUGGAAAUGCACUAGUUUACCCCUUGCGAGCCUUUGGGAGGUGACUUGAAGGUAGGAUUUUCUAGAAUAGCCAACACUUGGUAAGCUUUUGGACUCCUAGGAGACAUCCAUUAGUUAUCUCUUGCGAGCUUGAGAAGGGAAGUCCAAGGUUAAAGAUCACCUUGAAUGGUAAGUGCUCGUGAGAGGCAUGAACCAUUGCAAGUUGCAUCAGUGAGAGGGAUUUAGUGUUUGAAUCCAUUAAUGGGAAGCAUCUGUACAACACCGGUUGGAGAAGGAACUAUAUGUUAAUUCUCUAAUGCGAGGAAAAUAAACAAGUGACCGGAACCCUCCAUUUUGUAUGAGGAACGAGCCUAGUGAUCUGAACUCCAAGAAACAUCUUUUCUUUAUAAGUUAAAAUCAGUUACUAUUUUUAGUUAGCUUAAAACCAAACCUUUUUCAUUUAAACAUCUUUAUGUUUUCUUUUAAAGCUAACCUUGAAAUGAAAAGGCACCAAUUCAUCUUUGAAUUAAUAUCAAUUGUGAAGUGAAAACCCAUCCCAGUGAACGAUCCUAGAGCCACUAUGCUAUAGUAGCUUUGUCUUUGCUACCCUAGUAUAUGGUGUAAUAGGUUAUAAAUUUUGUUGAUCAAUCCCUCAAUCAAGGAGCACCAGCUGGACACGAAUCAGCUGAGACACCAAGUGGGCACGAAUCAAAUGGCGCCGUUGCCGGGGAUCGAACCCCGAAUCAGAUGGUGUCAUUGCCACUGCCGCUGCUAGGGACGAAUCAAAUGGCGCCGUUGCCGGGGAUCGAANNNNNNNNNNNNNNNNNNNNNNNNNNNNNNNNNNNNNNNNNNNNNNNNNNNNNNNNNNNNNNNNNNNNNNNNNNNNNNNNNNNNNNNNNNNNNNNNNNNNAAUUCAGCUUUGAAUUGAUAUCAUUUGUGAAGUGAAAACCCAUCCCAGUGAACGAUCCUAGAGCCACUAUGCUAUAGUAGCUUUGUCUUUGCUACCCUAGUAUAUGGUGUUAUAGGUUAUAAAUUUUGUUGAUUAAUCCCUCAAUCAAGGAGCACCAGCUGGACACGAAUCAGUUGAGACACCAAUUGGGCACGAAUCAAAUGGCGCCGUUGCCGGGGAUCGAACCUCGAAUCAAAUGGUGUCAUUGCCACUGCCGCUGCUAGGGACGAAUCAAAUGGCGCCGUUGCCGGGGAUGGUGCCACUUUACAGUGAUAUCACCUUUUCAGAGUACUUGUGAUCUUCAUCACAAGUUUGGUGACUUUUCUGUUCCUUUUACUAACUCUUUUUAUUUCUUUAUUGUUCAUAUUUUAGUAUACUUUUUAUUUAGUUUUUAGUUUACCUUAAUUUUCUUUCUUUGAAUUGUUUUUCUUUUGUUUUCUUUUGUGUUCUCUGUUUUUAAUUCACAAAUUGCUAGUUGUGCAUGCCAUAUUGAAUACCAUAGCAGAGGAAGCCAUGAACUUCAUGAGUUAUGUGGUUGAAGUUUCAAGAGGAUGGGAUGAACCAAAUGCUAGAGAUAUGGGAAGAAUGACAUCUCAACCUAAAGCUAAGGGUGAGAUGUAUAUUUUGAAUGAUGGUAUGAACAUGAAGGCAGAAAUUGCAGCUAUGGAAAGGAGAUUGGAAGAGCUAGAAAUGACAAAUAUGCAACCAGUGCAAGCCAUCUCUCAAACACCAUUGCAAGCUAUGCCUUGUGCCAUUUGUCGAUCAUAUGAGCACUUGGUGGAUGAGUGUCCUACCAUUCUAGUCGAGAGGGAAAUGUUUGGUGAUUGCAACACCUACAAUUCCAAUUGGAGGGACCAUCCAAAUUUCUCUUGGAAACCACAGCCACCUCAGUAUCAGCAACCUACUCAAACACCACAGCAAGCCUCAAACCUUGAACAAGCUAUGGUGAAUCUUUGCAAGGUAGUAGGAGAUUUUGUGGGAAAGCAAGAAGCCACCAAUGCUCGAGUGGAUCAAAGAAUGGACAGAGUGGAUCAAAGAAUGGACAGAAUGGAGAGUAUGUUGAACAAAAGAAUGGAUGAAAUGCAAAAUGAUAUGGCCCAAAAGUUAGAUAUUCUCCAAGAUUCAAUCUCAAGGUUAGCCAACCUCAACACAAUGCAAGAGAAAGAAAACUCUCCUUCUCAACCUUAUCAAAAUUCCAUGAGUAUCCAUGAAAUGGAGGCUAAGGAGGGAGAACCUUCACAAAAGAAGGAAAUUGAAGAAGUGAUCACUCUGAGGAGUGGUAAAGAGGUUGAUCUGCCCACAUGCAAGCUAGAGCAUAAGGUAGAGAGUGAAACAGAGAAAGAAAAGAGGGAGGAAAUCAAAGGAAAGAAAAAGGGGAAAAGCAUAGAGAAAGAUGGCUAUGAUGUUAAUGUACAAAAAGAAUCACAGAGGAUAGUCAUCAAGGAAGAAUUGAUGAAAAAACACAUGCCUCCACCUUUUCUCCAAGCUUUGUAUGGCAAGAUCAUACAGAGAAAGUCCCAAGUGGGAGAUGCAAACUUCAUAUGGGAUCCGGGCAAGCUAAAUCAGGAUCAAAUUUUUUGAUGGACUUAGUCUUUUUAAAGACUAGCUAGUCCAUAUCCUUUUGUUUUGUUUUUUUAGUUGUUUUAAUUUUAAUUUCAAUGCUUUAAUUUUGAUUUCAAUGCUUUAAUUCUGUUUGUUUUGAUGUAAUAUAGGUUUUUGGAUGAUCAAAAUCAAGAGGAAUUGCAAAGAAAUUGAAGAAAAAAAAAUCGGAGCAAAAUCGGAGCAAAAUUGGAGUCAAACGGAGCGAAAACAGGGGAAAAACAGGGGAAAAACAGGGGUCUGCGAGAUUUCGCAGCCUCUGCGAAAUCGGCAUUUUGUUGCCAAACCAUUCCGCAACACUGUAGAAGUCUCUGCGAGGGCAUUUCGCAGCUGCGAAACCAAAUUUGGCACACGAGUGCCACUUCGCAGCACAGGAGCCCCCAUUUCGCAACUGCGAAAGCGGCUGCGAACCACCAAAGCAUGAAAUCCUCCAUUUCGCAGGGAAAGCUCCAUUUGGCAGGGUAUUUCGCAGCUGCGAAAGUGAAUUUGGCACACGAGUGCCACUUCGCAGUACAGUAGCAUCCAUUUCGCAGCUGCGAAACGCAUUGCGAAGUGGUAAAGGCUGAUUUCGCAACAAAAGUCCCAUUCCGCAGGGUAUUUCGCGGCUGCGAAGCUGGUUUUGGCACACGAGUGCCAUUUCGCAGCACAGUGACCCUCAUUUCGCAGCUGCGAAAUGGCUGCGAAGUUCCAAAACGUGAAAAAUCCCAAUUUCACAGCCGCACCCAUUUCGGCAACUGUUGGACACAUCUCGAUCACUUCCCGAAGCUCAAAUUAUGCAUAUGAUAUCUCGUUUCAAAGCUUGGGAAGUCAGGAGUCCAUAGCUUCAAAUGGUGCUCGAUUUGGAUUUGAAACGGAAAAGUUAUGGCCGUUUGAAGAAGACUGUGCAAACCAUGAGCGGAAAUGUCGCACCUCAAUUUCGCUACUGUUGGACACAUUUUUGAAGCACUUCCUGGAGCUCAAAUUAUGCAUACAAUAUCUCGUUUCAAAGCUUGGGAAGUCAGGAGUCCAGCGCUUCAAACGGUAUGCGAUUUGGAGGUGAAUUGAAGAAGUUAUGGUCGUUUGAAGAUAAGCGCGCAAAGCUGAACGGGAAUUUCGCAACCGAGACGCCAUUUGGAAGGGUGUUUCGCAGCUGCGAAACCACUUUUUGGCACACGAGUGCCAUUUGCAGCACAGUUCCCCUCAUUUUGAAGCUGCGAUACACCUGUGAAAUAACCUUUGAGCUGCGAAAUCACUUUUAAGCUGAGAAAUGGGUUGCGAGAAUUCCCCUGCUCUACGAAAUCCACCCCCUGCUGCGAAAAUGCUCCAAGCUUCAAAAAUGGGCUGCGAAAUUGCUCAUUGCCUACGAAAUGAUCUCCAAGCUUUGAAAUGGUUGCGAAAUCACCUCCAAGCUUAGAAAUGGCCUUCAAAUUGCGAAAUUGACUUGUGAAAUGGAGGGUGAUUUGCAAAAACACCUUGCAAAGCCAAGGGAAGUUGCUAAAAUGCCAUCAGAGCCCUGCAACCAUGCAUAUGAAGAGGAGAGCCUCGCACACCCUGGGAUCACACACACAAAGUCUCUCACUCCAUUUCUGACCUCCUUAAACCAUCAAAUCUCAUAGCUCCAGCUGAGAGCUCCAAUUGAGGAGACUAUGCCACUUAAGGAGACUACUUGAACAGAGGCCAAAGUCCUGAUCCAACCCACUCAAGAGGCCAUCACAGACACAUCAGCUCCACAAGACCUUACCAUUACUUGAUCAUCUUUUUAUUUUUUUGUCUUUACAUAUUAUAUUAGUAUACAUAAUUCCAUGUUUUGAUGUCUUACAUUUUGGAAUUGGAUGUAUUACUGAUGAUACAUCAUACAUAGACAUCAAUUUUUGUUUAAACUUAGCAUUUUUCUAUUUCCUCUACUCACUAACUCUUAUGUUUUCUUUGAAACAUGUGGUUUCUCCUAUACGACUCAAACUCCAUGUCACUCAGGAGGUACCACUUCCUCCCUAUUUUUUAAUCGCUUUUGUCACAUUGAGGACAAUGUUCAACUUGGUUGGGGGGAGAGUUGAGGAAGUAAGUAUUGUUAAUAAUGCUAAGUUAUUUUGGUAAUUUAGUUGCUUUUUGCUUAAUUUUAAAAAUUUUUGCUUUAAACUCCAUGGAUAUUAAGGAUUAACUCUCAAAAUUAAAUGAGAGAAGUCAAGUUUCAACUUGAUUACAGGAGUCUUAGAGUUUGUAUUAUGCUCUUUUAAAAGUUGAUGAAUUGUUGAAACUCCCAUUGCAUGCAAACUUAUCUCUUCCACCUUAAGCUAUUCGCACACACAUACAUUAGAUUCCGGUUAUAAGAUGUGAAACUAUCUCACCCUCUAAGCUUGAGAAAUCAUAAUUUGACACCUUUAACCUCUCUUUAAUAGUGUUGGGACACCUCAUAAAGACCAAUGAGUCUUUGAAAAAAUAGAAAAAAAGAAAAAAGAAAAAGAAAAAAAAAAAAAAAGAAUAAACUUCUUUACUUGCCUUGAAACCUGAGCAUGGUCCGAAGGGGUGGCGAAAGCCUUUAAAGCCUGGUGCCCUAAGCCUUUAUUGGUUGGGAGUCACCGAUCCUCUGCUUGUUACAUGGGUGAAUUGGUUAAGUUUAGUAAGUGAAAAGAAUUGUGAAUAAGAGGUGCGUUCCUAGCCUAUCAAGAGAUGGUUAAUUUUACUAAGCUUAAAGAAAGACUUAGGUUGGGGGGAGAUGAUAGUUAUCCAUACUAUAAUCGGAAGCUAAUCACAUUAACACUUAGCUUUUAGUGGAAGAAUUUGAUUUGGAUCUUUUGAGAGUGGAAAUUCUUUUGAUGCUUAAACUUGCAUAAUAUCCAUUCUUUGUACUCUAAGAUCAAGUGAAUGCUUUGACAACUCUUAUUAUAGGUUGAGAUUCACAUCUUUAUUGAUCCAUGGAUGUCCAUCAUGCCACUCAUAUCAUUUUUUGGAGUGAUUUGCAUGAUCCCUUUUAUGUAUAUUAUUAUAGUUACUUAGUUUUUAUCUCCUUCAUUGCUAAGGGACUAGCAAUAUGUCGGUUGGGGGGAGUGAUUACUACUCAAAAAGUGCUAUUUCAUAGCUUGUAAUUAAUCCUUUUAAACACUUUUGAGUAGUAGUUAUUGCCUUUUAACCCAAUUAACAUGUUAACGAUCCUUGCAAUCAGUUUUGAUCAANNNNNNNNNNNNNNNNNNNNNNNNNNNNNNNNNNNNNNNNNNNNNNNNNNNNNNNNNNNNNNNNNNNNNNNNNNNNNNNNNNNNNNNNNNNNNNNNNNNNNNNNNNNNNNNNNNNNNNNNNNNNNNNNNNNNNNNNNNNNNNNNNNNNNNNNNNNNNNNNNNNNNNNNNNNNNNNNNNNAGUUGCAUCAGUGAGAGGGAUUUAGUGUUUGAAUCCAUUAAUGGGAAGCAUCUGUACAACACCGGUUGGAGAAGGAACUAUAUGUUAAUUCUCUAAUGCGAGGAAAAUAAACAAGUGACCGGAACCCUCCAUUUUGUAUGAGGAACGAGCCUAGUGAUCUGAACUCCAAGAAACAUCUUUUCUUUAUAAGUUAAAAUCAGUUACUAUUUUUAGUUAGCUUAAAACCAAACCUUUUUCAUUUAAACAUCUUUAUGUUUUCUUUUAAAGCUAACCUUGAAAUGAAAAGGCACCAAUUCAUCUUUGAAUUAAUAUCAAUUGUGAAGUGAAAACCCAUCCCAGUGAACGAUCCUAGAGCCACUAUGCUAUAGUAGCUUUGUCUUUGCUACCCUAGUAUAUGGUGUAAUAGGUUAUAAAUUUUGUUGAUCAAUCCCUCAAUCAAGGAGCACCAGCUGGACACGAAUCAGCUGAGACACCAAGUGGGCACGAAUCAAAUGGCGCCGUUGCCGGGGAUCGAACCCCGAAUCAGAUGGUGUCAUUGCCACUGCCGCUGCUAGGGACGAAUCAAAUGGCGCCGUUGCCGGGGAUCGAACCCCGAAUCAGAUGGUGUCAUUGCCACUGCCGCUGCUAGGGACGAAUCAACUCUAGUUAAGAAACCUUUAUUUUCUCUAUUUCUAUACCUUAGGUUAGAUUGUGGAAAACCUCAAAGUUAAAUCAAUUAAAUUAAAAAUCAAUAUUCGUUUUAUUAUUAAUUUAGCUUCUUUUACUUACUUUCACUUCAUAAAAGUUAAUUCACAUAUUGUUUUUCACUUUAGGAUUUAAAUAAAAACAAUUCAUUUAUCAUAGUAAUGACAAAUUCCAUAAGUUAGUCCCUAAGGAUAAUACCCAACGUAUUAUAAAAGCCGGAGUGACUAUUUCUCUGAUUUUUUCUUGACCAAAGUUGCUACAUAAAAAGGCUUAAUAUUUUAGAUAAUAGAGAAGAUUGGUCAAAUUGUGGAAAGAAGGGACAUUAUAAAAAUGAGUGCAAGGCUGCCAAAGAUAAGAAUGGUGACAACAAGACCAAUGAAAAUGUUGUUUCAGAAGAAUUAGAUGAUGCUCUUAUUUGCUAUUUGGAGAGAACAACAAAAUCGUGGGUAUUAGAUUCAGGGACAUCAUUCCAUGCUACCUCAAAUGGAGAAUUAUUUGAGAAUUAUGUCUCAAGUAAUCUAGGGAAGAAGUAUCUAGGUGAUGACCAAGCAUGUGUUGUUAUUGGCAUAGGUGAAGUGUGGAUCAAAUUGAAUGGAUUUGUAUGAAAUUUAGACAACGUGAGGCACAUUUCAAACCUCAGAGAGAAUUUUAUUUCCAUUAGGUAGUUAGUAAAAGAUAGCUAUGUGACAACUUUUGUAGGUGACACAUGGAAUAUCUCAAAGGGAGCUAUUUUCCAUGGCAAGAAGAAUGAUACUCUUUACAUGACAAUGGAUGGUUGUGAGUUUAUUGCAGUUGUUGAGAGCAAAGAAGAUUCGAAUUUAUGGCAUUAGAGGUUUGGUCACAUGAGUAAUGAUGGGCUGGAAAUUAUACACUCGAAUGGGAAGUUGUCAAGUUUGAAGUAAGUUGAUGUUAACAUGUGUGAAAGUUGCAUACUUAGGAAACAAAAAAGGGUUAGCUUUAAUAAAGUUGGAAGAACUCUAAAGGAAGCAAAACUGAAGUUAGUUCAUACAAAUGUUCGGGGACUUGCUUCAGUUUCAUGUAUCGGUGAAAGAUCCUAUUUUGUGACCUUCACUGACGAUCAUUUGAGGAAAGUGUGAGUAUACUUUAUGAUACACAAAUGAGAAGUAUUUGAUGUAUUCAAGAGAUGGAAAAUAAUGGUGGAGAAUAAGAAAGGUAUGAGAGUGAAGAAGUUGCGGUUUGAUAAUGGUAGGGAGUAUGAAGACUUUGAGUUUAAGAAGUUCUAUUAUAAAAAUGGAAUUAAAUUGGAGAAGACCAUGCCAAGGACACCUUACCAGAAUGGUAUAACAGAAUGAAUGAACAAGACAUUGAUUGAAAGAGAAAAAAAAUGUGUAUACAAGCAAGGUUGUCAAAGGAGUUCUAGGUAGAAGCAAUCAACACAACAACUUACUUGAUCAAUUGAGGACCGUCAACUUGAUCACAAAAUACCGGAAAAAGUGUGAACUAGAAAAACGGUAAAGUUUUCUCAUUUAAGGGUAUUUGGUUGUGUAUCAUAUAUAUAUAUGUGUGUGUGUGUGUGUGUGUAUACAUAUUAGUGAUCAUGACAUAAACAUACUUGAUGCUAAAUCACUAAAAUGUACUUUCAUUAGCUAUGGUGUUAAUGAUUUUAGUUAUCAGUUUUGGGAUGACUAUAAUAGGAAAGUGAUUAGAAGUAGGGAUGUCAUAUUUAAUGAGAAAGUUUUGUAUAAGUAGAGAGAUGCAACACAUUCCAAUAGUCUGGUACAACCUGAACUUAUUUACUUUGAGCUAGAUGAUGUCCCAUAGAAUAACAUGACAAAUAAGACAAGUCAGAAUCAUAGAUUGAGGAAAAUACUACAUAGGAUGUUAAUAUAUCACAAGAUCUAGUUUCAAUUCCUACUUUGAGGAGAUCCAAUAGGCCACAUGUACCAAAUAGGAAAAAUUUAAAUUAUUUGCUACUAAUAGAUGGAAGUGAACCUAAAUGUUAUGAUGAGGCACAUCAUAUGGAAGAUAAUAGCAAGUGGGAGCUUACAAUGAAAGACGAAAUGAAGUCUCUUAUUCUUAACCAAACUUGGAAGCUAAUCAAGUUACCGGUGGGUAAGAAAGUUGUUCACAAUAAGUGGGUGUAUUAAAUUAAGUAGGAGCAUGAUGGUUCUAAGAUACAUGAGGCUAGAUUGGUGGUCAACGGGUUUUAGCAAAAAAAAAUGGUUGACUAUACAUACAUCUUCUCUCUAGUUGUGAAACUAACUAUUAUUUGAUUUGCUUUGAGUAUUGUAGUGAUAGGGAGUCUACAUAUAGAGCAAUUAGAUGUGAAGAUAGCUUUCCUCUAUGGUGAUUUGGAGGAGAAAAUUAAUAUAUAUGCAACAACUAGAGGGUUUUGUAGUGAAGGGUAAAGAGAAUGUGGUGUGCAAAUUAACUGAGAGUUUGUAUGGUUUAAAACAAGUCCCAAGACAUUGGUAUAAAAUAUUUGGCGAUUUCUACAAAAGAAUGGGUAUCUCAAGUGCAAUGCAGACCAUUGUUGUUACUUCAAAAAGGUUGGUUCUAUCUGUAUUAUUUUGUUACUGUAUGUUGAUGACAUGUUAGUAGCUGACACAAAUUUAGAUGAAAUUAACAAGUUGAAGAAAUAGUUGUCUAGUGAAUUUGAAAUGAAGGACUUGGAUGCAACAAAUUAGGUACUUGGGAUGAAGAUUAACAGAGAAAAAUAAAUGGGCAUUUUGUGGUUAUCUUAGGCUAAGUAUAUAUAUUCAUAAAGCAUUGCAAAGAUUGGACAUGAGUAAUGUUAAGGCAGUUAGAACAUCAUUAGCAAAUCAUUUCAAGUUGUCUAAUUAAACAUUGCCCAUGGGCAUAUGAGGAAAGAGACUUCAUGGCUAAGGUCACAUAUGCCUUAGCCAUUGGAAGUUUGAUGUAUGUUAUGAUAUGCACGAGACUAGACAUUGCCUAUGCAAUGGAAGUUGUGAGCAGAUUUAUGCCAAAUCCAAGUAAAUAGCAUUACGAAGCAGUGAAAUGGAUGCUUAGGUACUUACAGGGUACUACAAAAAACUGUCCAUGUUUCAGAAGGGGUGAGUUAAAAUUGCAAGGAUAUGUGGAUAUUGAUUUUUCCAAUGAGAUAGAUAAUUGGAAAAGUACUAUAGGGUAUGUGUUCACUUUGGGUACUACUGCUAUUAGUUGGAUUUCUCAAUUGCAGAAGAUUGUUGUUUUAUCUACAAUUAAAGUAAAAUAUGUGGCUAUGACAUAAGCUAGUAAAGAAAUGAUUUGGUUGUAGAGUUUGUUAGCAAAGUUGGGAUUCAAACAAGAUAUGAAUGUUUUGCAUAGUAAUAGUCAAAGUGCAAUACAUUUGGCUAAGUAUUCAGCAUUUCAUUCAAGAACUAAUUAUAUUACACUUCGUUAUGUACUUCAUCAGGCUUUUGCUUAAAGAUAGGGUGUUAACACUUGUGAAGAUACAAGGUAGCAAGAAUCUAGUUAACAUGUUAACCAAAAUAGUGAUAACAGAAAAACUUGAGUUGUGUACAACUUCAAUUGGUCAAGAGUGAGAAUAGGUUGUUUGAGUGCACCCUCAUACCCAUUAAUCAUUGAAGGACAAUGUUUACUUGUGGGCUCUCUUGAGAAUUUAUUUAUUUAUUUUUAUGUAAUGAUUGACGAUUUUAACCUUAUUAUAUAUUUUAACCUUUUUAUGUUUUAGGGUUUUAUUUUUUAAUGAGUGUAGUCGCAAUUAAGAGGUUUUUUGAAAGUUUUGUCAUUUCCUUCUCAUUCCUUUUGUAGUGAAUUGUUGAGUGUUGGUGUACUCCAUUGAUGUAGGGAUCAAAUUGAUUGUCAAACCAUGAUAAUUUUUUUUUACCUCUGCUUAUACAUGUGUGUGUGAUUUGGUUAACAUCAUUUAUCUUAAUAAUUCUCUUCCUGGAAUAGGAAGAAAAUGAUGAUUCCAUUAAUGCAGCAUGCAUUGCUGCUUAUUUAUCAAGCAAAUUACAUUAUAAUUUUCACACCAAACCUCCAAAUUCACCAUGUACUUAUCCUAUAUAUUGCAUGGUGAACUACAGAGAACUAAAACAAGCUCUUCUUGAUUAAAGAUAGAUAAUGUCCUACUGACUCUUUUACUCCGAUGCCUUGAAAUGAGAAAUUUGGAGGUUUUCCACAUCAAGCUUCUUGAGAUUACUGCGCUUUCUCGUAGCAAAGAACUUUCCCCAGUUGUAUGCUCUAUACUUUGGUUUUCCCCCCUUCGUCAGCUCCUCCAACGGCUGCACCCAAAGAUGGUGCGCGGGAUUGGAAAAAAACGGAAUCGAGAACCUUUCCCUCUCUGAAUUCAGUAUCACUCUGUGCUCUACACUCUCAUAAGUGUCGUUGCUCCAAACCUGGUUUAAUAUCAGUAUAAUUAGUGGGUGCAAAAUUCGGUGAGCGAAAGAACUGAUAAGCAGGUACUUAUAAAUCAAAGUUCUUGGGUGGUACCUGAAUUAUAUCCCCAACAUUGAUGAUAUAAGCAUCUGGGGUGGGCUUCACUCGAAUCCAUUCUCCAUCGGUUUUUCGCUUUACUUCCAACCCUCCGACAUCAUCCUGGCCAAGGAUGGUUAAGGCUCCGGGAUCCUUGUGGCGACCAACGCCCAGAGCUAGGUGAGGGACAGGGCAAGGUGGGUAGUGAUUGAGGCGGACGAAGCUCGUUGAUUCUUCAAAGAAAAGAUUGAAUCUGUUUUCUGGCAAACCUAAGCUCAGAGAGAUGAGUCCCAUCAGCUUGAAAGCUAGUUUUUCCGUUUCUCUAGCAUAUUCUUCACAGAUCUCCCUGUAUAAAUCAGUUCAAUUAGAAUAAAAAAAACCAAGUAAUUCACUGAAGUGACUGUGCCUUAGCUGGUGAAAUUUGUACCUUAAUUCAGGAGGGUACUGAGGCCACCGAUUGGUCAGCUCUAUGAGCUCCUUGUCGUCAGGAUCAUCCGAAGCAGGGCCGAAGGCGAGGGUUCUCACCACGAAAUCAAAGACUUCUUUCCAGUCCCUAACGUUCUUGGUAUGCUCAAUAUCAAAGUACCCCAUAGGAUUCACCUCAUCUCUACUCACCUUCCUCUUCUCCUCCGCUGGCAGAGCGAAGAACUUCCUCGCGGCAUCCAAAAUUUUCCGGCGAGACUCCGAGGGCACCCCAUGGUUGAUGACUUGAAAAAAGCCCCAGUUCUUGCAUGCAUCAGCUAUUUGAGAAACAUGAUUGGAAGCAUUGGCGGAAGAGAGAUCAAUGAGGGGGAUGCCUUCAGCUUCGAUAACAGCGAGCUUAGGCCUAUGUUGGGCGUCUUGGACGAAGGCUGGAUCGACCUCUCCCAUGGCUGUGGUAGUGGUUAGAACUUAGAAAUGGCAAUUAUGCACUGGUAGCUGCAGGUGAAGAUGGUUACAGGACUUGGGCAACUCGGCAGGUGGUUUUUAUAGCUUAGGGGUGUUGGUUUAAUACCUUGAACCUGGACAUAAUAUGGGUUACGUGUUAAGUUUUAGUUCGGGGUGUGAGCUCAUGGAUUGCGCAUAUGUUAAUGAGAUUUGGUCAAGUGAUACCUAGCUAUUUCCAAAAUCUCUGUCAAUGAUUUAUUCACGGCACCCUCAAUUUUCAAAUAUUUCAUCCGUACUUGAUUUGGAAGGUUGAUUAGUAAAUCUGAUGGUGUAAUGUCUAUUUUUGAAUUCAAUGCUUUAUAUUUAACGGUGGAGAUAAGAAAAAUAGAAGAGUUGAUAACGUUGAAGAAAAAAUGCCAAAGUUUUAAGAAGGUAGAGUUUUGAUGAGAAAUAGGUAAAAUUAAAAUUGCAUUAUAAUAAUAUAAUUGAAUCAAAUCGUUAAUCACCCAUUUCAUCUCAUUCUUAUUCACAAUUGUUGAUAGUUGAUUCCUACAAAAUUCUAAAAAAAUCUUCCACAAAGACAAAUCACAAGAUGUUCAAUAACUAUGCUUUUGCACCAAAAAUUGUAUAAGGGAAAAAAAAAUGAUGCACAAAUAAUAAUAAUAAUAAUAAUAAUUGCUAUAUCUAAUAUUAUUUCAUAAGAAAACUAACUACAAUAAAUUUUAAAAGCAAAUAGCGUUUAACCAUAUUUUGAUUCUUUCAAAUAAUUUUUAAAAUUAAUAUUUUUUCAAUAUAAAAUUUUAAGAGUCUUUGUAUUUUAUAUAUAAAUUACUAAUAUUCUCUUAUUUUAAACAUAGAAAAUAAAAAUGUAACCAAAUGAAUUAGAAAAUAACAAAGUUGAAUAAAAAUUAGUCUAACCAUAUUAAUGCUAAUUAAUAAUGUUUGAUAGAAAACGCUUAAAUAUACCUUGUAUUUUUCCUCACUGGUCAACUCCUCCGAAGGCUUCACAUUCACCUGGUGUGUCGGUAAGAAGAAGAAUGGAAUCGAAACCCUUUUCUUCUUGUGUUGACCCACAUCGAGAUCGAGCUGUGUCUUUACAUCUUUAGUUGAGUUUGUUCGACUUUAAGUUGUGCCUUUAUGUUUCGAGUUUAGUUUGUUCAAUUUCGAGUUGUGCCUUUAUGUUUUGAGUUGAGUCUAUUUGGCUUCGAGUCACACCUUUAUGUUUCGAGUUAAGUCUCGCUUCGAGUCACACCUUUACGUUUCAAGUUGAGUCUCUUUAGCUUUGAACUGCACCUUUAUAUAUCUAGUUGAGUUUGUUUGACUUUUGAGUCGUGCCUUUGAGUUUUUAGUUUAGUCUGUGCGGCUUCGAGCCACACCUUUAUGUCUCUUGUUAAGUCAUAUUUGGCUUCGUUCUACACCUUUAUUGUUCAGCUUUGAGUCAUGCCUAUCUUUUCAAGUUUGUUAUGCUUCGAGCCACAUCUUUAUCCUUAAAAAGUUUGUUUGAGUUUAGUUGUGCCCUCACCCAUAUCCUUAGUUUUAAGUUUAUUUAGCUUCAAGCCAUGCGUUUGUCCUUGUUAAGUCAGUUCGGCUUUGAGCCAUGUCCUAGUUUUGAGUUUGUUCAUCCUCGAGCUGUAUCUUCCUUUCUUUUUUAGUUCAUUUAGGGUUUUCUCCUUUUGAGUUGAUCACUCCUUAUCUUGGUCGUCCUUAAAUUGUUCAUUGUGUCAUGAUUCAGUGUUUUUCAUUGCAUAUAUACUCCCCACAUUGUCUAUAUCUUUAUCUUGAUGAGUUUCUUCUCCAAUACAUGACCUCGAUCUUCGAGUUUAGCAUGUCAUGUGCUAAGACAAUUUCAAGUGCUCUUUUGUUCUUUGAUGCAAUUCACUUCAUACUAUUCAUCACUCAUGUUUCACUAUUAAUGCUCAUUUCAUUUGUGAUCUACAUCGGAGAGAGGCAUAUUUGUAGGUCCUUUAUUUUGUCCUAUAACACAUAUUUUCACAUUUUUUUUAUUUUUUUCUUGCCUUGUAUUUAUUUUUGGUGCUAGUUUUGGAUCAUUCUUACUUGAUCAUUCAUGGUCCCUUUCUUGUCCACUUUUACUCGACUCAUUAUUCAUUUUUUAGCCACAUUUUAGAGGCCAUGUUGGAGGAAUUUUGAGUCCAAGCUUAUUGUUUUUUAGAGACCCUUAGUAGGUGGCUCAUAUGAGGACACGUGUCCUCAUUGGGUAGGUUUUUUCAUUUUUUAAGAGGGGUUUUCUAGAGGCUUCUAGGGUACUGAGGACACUGUUCUCAUCUUGGCCCCCUUUUUUUUUUUUUCUUUUUUUUGUCCCUUGUUAGAGGGGUUUUCUAGAGGCUUCUAGGAUCAGCUAGGAGAGCACGUUGAUUGAUGCUUUGAUAUGGGUAACAGAUGCCACAUUUCAUCUUGCUGAACACCGGUUAGCUAUGGACUUGUUACUACUUUUCUCUUCUGUUUCGAGUUAACUUUGGAAAUGAAUCUGAAUAUAGACUGGUAUUUGCAGCUUGAUGUUUAGAGAAUCAUAUUUUAGCUGUUGUUUAAAAUUCAUUUUGGCAUGUUCGGUUGCUUCAAGCUCAUUGAUACAAUAAUGAAAUGAAGCUUUAUAUAUUUGUUACUGGGUUGGCUCUCUGUUUGGUUAUCUUUAAGUUCUGCAUCUUUUCUUUUCUCGUUGCCUUAUCUUCUCUAGGGGGUGUCGUUUGAGAAAUACAUAGUGGAAGAAAUGGGAAGCUGAAGGCUUAUCCUGGCAUCGACCUCGCGUUAGGGAACGACUUGAUCGAAGAACAUAUGAGUUUUUCAGAUACCCAGAACUCACAUCAAAAGAAGCCUCGGAGUUUAGGUCAAACACAUCAUCUGACAAGGAGUAUACCUUUGCCUCUGGUGAUUUUAUUGACUUCUGCAUGAUGGACAUCCGAGGGUGGGGACUGGAAGAGAAAUGAUGAAUCUGCCCGGCCAAGAUAGUUUGUCUAGAAAGGAACUUGUAUUAAAUGAUGGUUACCCACUAUGUUAGAUGCUGAAAUUUGGGUAUGAGUACUCCCGGUGGCAUCAGAAAGAUGAGUUGCACAAUCCUUCUCACAGUAGAAAGCCUGAACUCCGAAGUUGGGCUUUUUCAUGGCCGGACAAGAGGAGUGAUCACAAUAGUGCGAGCAAAGCCUGUCACGACCCAAAUUCUGGGUGAACUUAAGGUUUGACUUUUAAGGGUUGUACCUAUUCAAUCUACCAAUCAACCUUUGAUAACUUGAUUUUUUUUUCUCGAUAAAACAAUAUCUAAUCCCAAAUCAAUUUAUUAAGCUAAUAACUUGAUUUUUUUUUUUUUCAAUAAAACAACAUCUAAUCCCAAAUUAAUUUAUUAAGUUAAGAUUUACACUAUCAUAUUAUUUUAUUUUAUUUUUCAAAAAUCAAUCAUUACACUAUCACUUAUUCACAAGUAUAAUAAAUCUCUCAAACAUCUUAUCACCCAAAAUGAUAAGCCAAACAUUUACAAAAAAAAAGUUUUACAAAUUAAUAAAAUAUAGUGUAAGUUAUAAAAGUUCUUAUAAAUCAAAUUAAUAGUGCUAAAAUAUAAUAUAAUUGAAAAACAACUAUUAUUAUGGUUCUUUUACUUUUUGGAAUACUUCUUAUGGUUCCUUAAAAACUAUAUCUGCAUCUAAAAAUUUUAGAAAAUAAAAGGAUGAGUAUUUCCACAUUACUUAGUAAGGUGUUUUACGCCCACACAAAAUAUAAAUUCUAAUUCAAUAAAACACAAUCAUAUAUCAAAGUGUAAUUUUACAUCUAAUGUACUACAACUAUAUACAUUUAAACUAUUCAAAAUUAUCACUAACUAUAAUCAGACUCCAAAUAAUAUAAAUAAUAUUUAUUUUCUCCCAAAAACAUAAUAUGUAAUUUUGUUUCAAAAAAAAAUAUUAAAUAAAAGUUUUAGGGUUAAACCACCCUACAUUAAAUCUGAAAAUCUAACUGUUAAAACUAAAAUCAGAUUCCGUGAAAAUGUUCUUUACGUUAAAUAGAGUGUUCUAAAAUCUCAUACAAAACGGAGCUCAUUAUUUCUUCUCUUCCUUUGUGUUUCCGUUUGCGCUCUCUCUUUUAUAUUCUUCUUUCUUACCCCACAAGACAUUCCUAUUAUUAUUAUUUUUUUUCAUUUUUCUUUUCUCUCUCUUUUCAACUUUAAGCCACCGUUUUGCCCCUUUUUUUUUUUUUUUUAUUAUUCUUUAUCAACCAUACCUUGUUAAGAAAUUUAUUUAUUUUAAUCCAAAAAUCUACUUAAAUAUAAUUUCACAUUUUUCUUAAUAAAUUAUAUAUAUAUAUAUAUAUAUAUAUAUAUAUAUAUAUAUAUAUAUAUAUAUAUAUUAUUUCUUAUUAUAACAAAUUUAAAAUGUCACGCGUAUCAUUUUUUUAAUGAAUCAAAUUAUUAUUAUUUAUUUCAUAUUCUAUAAUUAUAAAUUAUACUCAAUAUAUGAUUUACUGUCUUACAAAAAAUAUUAUUAUAUUCUUAAUUAAAUUUACUACAAGUCUACUUUUUUUAAAAAAAAUAAUUUGACUUUAAUCACUUAAAAUAUUUUUAUUAUGAAAUUCAUUUAGGACAUGAUUUCAUUAAUUAUAUAUUAAAAAAAAAUUCAAUUUUAGAAAAAAUCUAAAGCAUAAAAUAAUUCUUCAACAUUAAGAAGCUAGAAUUCAUAAUAAUAUUUAAUCCUUUAAUUUUACCAAUAUUUAUUUACCAAUAAAAUUUAAGCAAUAUUCUAAAACUUAAUUCCAUUAGUUAUUUAGUCAUUCAAUUUAUACAAAUCAUAUUCUCAACCUUUGAUAUAACUUUUAUUUAAUUUACUUUAUUUUUCAAAUUUCUCAAUUGAAUCAAAAUUUCAAAAGUUAAAUUCACUAAGUAUUUAAUUAAUUUAGCCUUUUAUAUUCCCUAAAUUCAUAUAUCAUAAUUUACUCUUAAUUUAAUUUCAAUUCAAUUUUAUUUGAUGUUUUUUUAAUUCUAUAAGAUUUAAUUCUAAUUAUAAAAUUAUUGAUUUGUUAUAAAAUUAAAUUCGAUUUUUUUUAAUUAUCCAUUAUAACCAUUUGAUAUGAUAUAAAUUUUUACCAAGUUUUUCUCACUACAAUUCUCUAUAAUUAAAUUAAUGCUCAUAAUAUACUUAAUAUUCAAUUUUUCAAAAAUAAUAUCAAUAAUUAUUUGAUGGUUGAAUUUUUCUCCAAAUUUAAAUUUAUUUUUUAAAAUUUCUACUCUUUGCAUCUUACCUAAGAAAAUUUUAUACUAUUGACUUUUUAUUAACUUUUUCAAAAUAUUAACACUUGGAUUUUCGCCAUUCUUUUUUACUAUUCGACUAUAUGAUAACUUUGCUGAUCCUGAAUCUGACAUGUCAUUAAAACCCCGGUUGUUAUAGCGCCAGUCAAAUUAAGCCUGUUAUCCGAGGAGUGAAGCCACUGCCUUGUUCUUUCUCCGAUGGCCUGCUCAGCUCAUUCAAUCCCCAUCGCUCUCCUCUUUCCAAGUUCUCCAUUGUCAGUCUAGAGCCAACAAGGGUCGCAGAAAUCCUAAAGAUUGACCUACAUGGUAUUGUGAGUACCGCGAUGUGGAUGUUCUUAAUGUGUUGUCUACUAGAGCCAAAUGGGUGUUUGAUAAAACCCAGUAAAGGUGUAAAAAUUAUAUGACGAAGCUUGCAGAAAGACUUAGAGUUGAGGGAAGGCAUCUCAACGAAGUUGGGCUUUUGUAUUGUGAAUCUGGCAAAUUACCUAUAUUGCAUGGAUCAUCACUCUUUUCACGUGGAGGUAAACAGGUCCUUUGUAAUGUGACACUUGGGGCAUCACAAGCUGGUGAUGCUCAACGACUGGCUUCUCUGGACGGUCCUGCAACAAAGCGCUUCAUGCUUCACUGAAAUUUCCCGGAGUUCUCAAUUAAUGAAGUUGGCCAACUCCUUAACCUGCACUGUUCCGCAGCAGUCACAUAAAGAUUUGACAUUGAAAUUGAUCUGGUUUUUCCUUUGCCAAUGGUGGUGGGCGCUUUGUAUGUAGAUUCCGAAGGAACUUCCCAACUUGAUGGCUGUGAGUGGUAAGGUUGGAGAAGAUACUACUGGGUCUGCCCCAUUAGUUUUCCAUUGUUAAGGUAGUUUGGUGCACAGGUUCCUGGAUCAUCUACACCACUAGCACUUCCGGCCGCCUGUUUUGAUCAGUUUCUGGAUUUCCAUCUCCAAAUUGUGCAAGCAGUGACUGAUAUGGUGUCCAUACAAGCGGCUACUGAAAUGGUUCAAUCCCCAAAUGCUGAAGGGAAAGGAGCUUUUGGAAAAUAUCAUGAAGAAGACUCAUCCAUCUUACAUGAAAUUAUACACAACUCCAUGGACCAGAACCGGAACUCAGACUUAAAUUUGUCCACGAGAAGAUCAGUGUUAUACAAGUCAACUGCAGUCAUUCCUGAAAGAAGUGAUCAGAAGAGUAAACCUGGAAAAGCAGUGAGUGUAACAAGUUUUGUGACAUUGAACAAUUUGCAGAUGGUGUUCCCACAAGCUCCUUUCCCCUCUUCCCACGUGCAUGAAAUUCCUACGUGCAUGGGCCACCUUCUUAGGUGUGCAAUUCUGCGCAUAAUGCUCAAGUGUACUACCACCCUCUUCUUUUUUGAAAAAUUGAUUUUAAAUUUAAAUUUUUGACAAAAUUCAUUCCCCUUUUAAAAUCCCUCCUCAGUAAUUCUCUUCAAAUUAAUAAAAUCUAUUUUCAAUAAAUUUUUGCUGCCAUUUUCCUUUCGGCAUGGACCCUUUUUCUAUUUUCUUUGAUUUUUAAUAAUUUUCCAAUUUUUUUUAAUAAAUAUGAAUAAAUUCUAUGUUUUUAAAAAUAAUGGAAUUUUCUCCAAAUUUCUAUUAUCUUUUUCUCCAUGAUCAUUAGGAAGAUGAAAUUCCUAAAAUUAAUUCAUGCAAAUAAAUUGGACAUUGGUAGGCCCAACAUAUGAUUUUUUCUCCUUUGAUUAUUGUUUUUAAUUGCUAGGCUUGAUUGACUAACGAUUGAUCUUUGCCUUCUCCCUUAGCUUACUGCUCAAGUACGUUCGUCCUUUCUUUGCCUCUUUGUUUAAUUAUAGUCAAUGUUUUCAAAAUCGGACCGAUCAUUGAAUCGGAAAAGUUACUGGUUCACAGUUCACUAGUCGAAUCGGUGGUCGAACUGCGGUCGAAUCGAUGACGUCAUAAAUAUAUAAUUUAUAAAUUAUUAAAAUUAAAAAUAAUUAUAAAAAUAAAAAAAAUAAUUUAUAUGUUAUUUGAAAAUUUAAAUUUUAUUUAAAAAUAAGAAAAUUAGUUUCAAAUUAGAAAUUAAAAUUAAAAUCAUAAUUUUAAAUUUAAUUUUAAAAUUUUAAAAUUCAUUUUUAAAUAAAAACUUAUUUUAAAAUCAUGAAUUUAUUUAAAAUUAUAAUGUUUUCAUUAAUUUAAAUUAAAAUCAUAAGUUUUAAACAUCAUGAAAUAAAAAUAAUAAAUAUAAAAGAAAAUAAAUAAUAAUGAAAUGAGGUAAUAAAUAAUUAAAAAAAAAAUGGAAAAAGAGAGGAGAGGAGCACACAAAAAAGGGUUCCAACGGGGUUUUGGGGGGUGGGGUUUCCACUUUUAGGGCUAGGUGGGGGGGCCUUCCGAUGGGCAAAAAGGGGAAGAGCUUUUCGGCUUUUCCAGCGCGCGCGGGUGGGGGUGGCGACAAUGGGAAAAAAAAAAGUUGAAUCGGACGAUUCCAUCUGAAUAAUCCGGUUCAUUGGUCGGACCACCGAUUUAAUUGGUCCAAUUCUGGUCUAACCACUUUCUAGCCCAAUUGAUCAGACCAGACCGAAAUCAUGACUGAUUGAUUCGGUCCAAUUUUUAAAACCAUAAUUAUAACUCAAUCAUAAUACAUCAUUGAUCAUUACUUGGUAUUUGUUGACUUUCUAAUCAAUUGUCAUUCUUAUAUUAACUUGAUUAUUAGAGACUUGAUUUUAGGGUAUAGAGGGGUGUUAUGACUAAUCAUCCUACCUUCUCGAUAAGUAACCUGACCCUUGAACCCAAAUUCAGUUUUUCAUAAACUUGUCUUUUUCUUUCAAGUUUCAUACUUAGAAUUUUCAUUUUUAUUUUGUUUUCCAUUUAAAAAUAAAAUAAAGAUAAGUGGCCUAAAACCAUUUUCUAAAAAUCAAUUUUUCAUCAAUGCAAAGUGAGUCUUGUCCUUUUUUUUUCAAGUACGAACACGAUCGCAGGUUUACAAUACUAUUUUAAUAUAUAUAAUGAAAUAUAGAUAUUAACGCCAUCUUAAAGAUAUAAUUAAAUUUUUUGUUUAAAAUAAAUUAUAAUAAUUUAAAAAUAAUAUUUUAUUUAAAAUAAAUUUUAGAAUAAGCAAAGUUGAUAUGUGGACAUAGAGAAUCGUGAACCAUUGUAAAUGUAUUGAUUAUAUCUCUUUCUUCCCAUUUCAUUUUUACUUUAGUUUUUAUUAUUCGUAUCUUUUUCUACUAAAAUUUGAAAAAGAAAUUCACAUUCAAUUCAUUCACUUCUUCUUGGGUGUAUAUCAUAGGAUUCAAAAUGUUUUUAAAAAUUAUUAAAUUUGUUAAUUGUGACUACAUGCUUAUUUAGGAUCCAUUGAUCUUAAUAACUUUCUUCCCGAUAAAGGAGGAAAAUGACUAUUCCAUUAAUGCAGCAUGCAUUGCUGCUUAUUUAUCAAGCAAAUUACAUUAUUUUUUUCACACCAAACCUCAAAAUUCUCCAUGCAUAUACGCAUCCUAUACUGCAUGGCCAACUUCAGAGAGCUAAAAGAAGCUCUUAUUGAAUACAUGAUAGAUAAUGUCCCACUGACCCUUUUACUCUGAUACCUUGAAAUGAGAAAUUUGGAGGUUUUCCACAUCAAGCUUCUUGAAAUUAUUGCGCCUUCUCGUAACAAAGAACUUUCCCCAGUUGUAUGCUCUAUACUUUGGCUUUUCCCCCUUCGUCAGCUCCUCCAAGGGCUUCACCCAAACAUGGUGCCCGGGACUCAAAACGAACGGAAUCGAGAACCUUUACCUCUCUGAAUUCUCCAUCACCCUGUGCUCCACACUUUCAUAAGUAUCGUUGCUCCAGACCUGGUUUAAUAUCAGUAGAAUUAGCCAAAUGAGUGUAAAAUUCCUUGAGCCAAACAGUACUGAUAAGCAUGUACUUAUAAUUCAAAGUUCUUGGGUGGUACCUGAACUAUAUCCCCAACAUUGAUGAUAUAAGCAUCUGGGGUGGGCUUAACUCGAACCCAUUCUCCAUCGGUUUUUCGAUUUACUUCCAACCCUCCAACAUCAUCCUGAGCAAGGAAAGUUAAGGCUCCGGAAUCCUUGUGGCGACCAACGCCCAGAGCUAGGUGAGGAAUGGAGCAAGGUGGGUAGUGAUUGAGGCGGAUGAAGUUUGUUGAUUCUUCAUUCAGGGAUUAUUUCAUCCCUUUUAACCAAAUAUUUAACAUGAUCAAAGACUAUUCCCUAAAUGAAGGCAUACUGUAGCAAAUACCCUUAAUCUGAACAUUGAAAGUACAACUUAAACUAGUAUCAAACACUCUGUUUUUAAACCCAUAGCUACUCCAAAUAUCCCAAAUACUCUUUUCUAUGUAACCUCUCUUUGUCUCUUUCUCGCUCACACACACAUGCUUCCCCACAAAAAUACAUACACACAUAGAGAAGAACACAAUCUCUUAUCCGAUUCCCUUCCGAUUUAUGAUUCUAAGCUGGCGGGUCACUCUCUUAUUCUUUUGCUUUCUUGCGAUGGAGCUCCAUGCUCUCCUUUCCUCAUUUUUUUUCUUGGAUAAAUACUCUAUAAAACAUCCUCUCUCGAUGCUCUAUCUAAACUCACUUGCUCAUUUCACAUUUUUUUCUUUUUGGAUGCUUUCUUUAUGCUCCCAGGCAUAUGCCAGUUUUUUAUGACUAUUUUUGAAGUUGGGAUUCAGAAUUCACUAAAAUCUUUUCUCAAACUUGGAUUUUUCUCAACUCAACCCUAACUUCUUUUCUAUCAGUACCAAGGCUAGAGAAUAUAGUUUAUACCCUUGUAUUUCGUUAUGUACCAAGCCCACAAGAUGAUCAAUAAGUUUCUCUCUAGAUUUUACAUUGGAGUUGAUUGAUGACAUACCCUUAUUAGGUACUAUAUUCUCUUCCUUAGGUAUUGCUUUUUCCUUCCUUAGAUACUACCUUUGCAACCUUGGGUGCACGAUCGAAUCCAUCGUUUCAUGGCCACUUCAAGUAAGUCAGGAACUUAUGUACAUGUGUGCUACAUGUCUUAUAGGUAUUACCUUUACAUUCUGUAGGUACUACCUUUACCUUCCAUAGGUACAAAUAUGAUUAAUAAUAAGAAUUUUAACAUAAAAAAGGGAAAAAUCAUGUCUGAUAAUAAAAUUGCAUAUAUUUUCUUUCUUGCUUUUUUUUUUUUUUUUGGGUCUUUGCUUUGGUUUUUAUUUAUGUGUUUGUUUCUUUUAGUCUUUGUGUGUGUGUGUGUUUUAUUUUAUUUUAUUUUUUUCAUCCCUAUGCAGAAGAUGUAGAGGAAGCAACAUCACAUCAUAAGGUGCAUUUUUCUGUUCAUUUAAGCCUAAAGGUUCUGGAUUCACAAAAUGGUGGGAACUAAGGGUGAGAAACUGGAAAAAAAAAUGUUGGAUUGAGCUACAUUUGAUCAAUAGUGAAUUUGCAAAAAAGAUUGUAGGAGAGGUUUCUUGAGGUGGACAAGGUCAGAAGCAAGGAGCCUUUUCCUAGUUUUUGGGAAGAACUUAUUGUUAACGUGUGAAUUCAUUAAGGGUAAUUUAUGUAAGAUUUUCUAGAUUUUGCAAGUGAAUGCACCUUAGCUUUUCCUAUUGUAUUUGUGUUUUUUUAGGUUGAUUAUUUUAUUGAUCGUCACCACUCAAGGAAUGGAAGCAAUAGGGUCUCUAGAUGUACUGCGUAAAGGCGGGCAUACAGGCGUUGUUAGGAAUGUGUUUCCCAUGUCCAACAAGCAUAUUGACACCACCUAAAGCCAAGGCAUCUUUGGACGAGGAGUUCUAGCUUCUACUUCUGUGGACUUUGUAGAUGUCGUCUGGCUCUUCUAAAUAUUUAUUGUUAUGUAGUAGUUAUACACAUGUACUUUGUUUAAGUGAAUUGAUUAUUGGAUUUUUAGUUAAAUCAAAUUUAAGGGUAUGUUGUUUAAUUUACUAGUGAUCUCUUGUUUGUAAUUCUCGUUAUCAUAUAUAAAUCUUUGUUAGCAUUUUCCAAUUUCCUCAAUAGCAACUAUAUUAGUUUUCAGUGGAAUGAAUCUUGAGUAACUUGUAGUAUCAUUUUUGGUUUUGAAUUGACUAAUCUGUUUUGGAAGGAUGAAUUAGAUAUAUGAGCUUGAUUGCUAACAGUAGUUGAGUUUGUUUUGAUCUCGGGAUAUUUGCCUUGUUGAAUAGGACGUAGAUUUUGGGUCCAAAGAGUUGAAAAUUGAUGAGCUUAACCAAGACAUAGGAGAACCACAUGCAACACUAACCAGAGUUCCUACAACAAGCUAAUAACCAUGAUUUAGAAAUGUGAUUUCGUUAAAGGGAAGCAUUUCUAAUCUUAUUUGAAAGGAAACUUUGAUGUCUUCCCUAAUACACUAGAAUAUUAAUUUAAAAACAACAAUUAAGGUUAUAUUAACUAUUAUAAUAAUUUAUAAAUUAUAUAAAUAUGAUAAUAACUAUUAAAAUGAAAGUAUUAAAUGUAAAAAAGUUUAAUCUUGUUGGGUAAAAACUUCAUCAAUCUUUUAUUAUUGAACUUCUAUUAUAUAAUCAAACAUAGUGAUGAUCCUCGGUUGGAUUAAUCAACACUUGUUUCAUAAAUUGAACAACAUAUAACAUGAUCAACCAUAAACAAACAAGUAAACAUCAUACUAGAUAAAACUAUCUCUUAAGAUUUCUAUUAUUACAUGUUUAAAUUACAAAUCAUAUUUUUGCAACUUUCGUAAAAUUAUGCAAUAGAUAUGAUUAAAAUUACGAAACAUCGGAAAUGUAUAUUGAUUCAUUAUUCAGAUUCAUCAUAUCAUAUAUAUCCUUUAGUAGUCCAUAAGAUCAAAUAAUAACCAAAAUUCAAAAAAUAUGUUUUAUGAUCCAAAAUUGAUUGACACUAAUAUCAUUUGUUAAAUAAACUUUAUGUGAAAUAAUUAUUUUGGAAAAUCAAUUUGGAUGCAUAAUGCAUAAUAGGUAUAAGAAAUAAAGAAAUGACAAAAUAAUAAUUAUAUUCUUGUCUUAAUCCAUGAUACUGAUAACACUUGUAAUGUGAAUUUGAGUCAUUUUGUGAAUUGUUGGGUCAAGGUCUUCAACUCACCAUUCUCAUUUAGUAGAUGAGUCAAUUGUGUGGUAUAUGUUGUUAUAAGUAAAACAACUAAAAACAUAAGAAUGCAAUGUGACUUAGGACCUUAACUUUAUAAAAAAGAUUUAUAACUCUUAAUAUUCUCAUAAAAGAUUAUAUGAAAGUUAUACUCAUUAUUUAUAAACAUUAUACACAGAUUAAUGGACAAUGGUAAACUACCAACUUGAAUACAUUCAUGUAAUUGUAUAAAUUACACUUUUUCAUCUUCCUCUAUUAGUCAUAAACUUUAUGUACAAAUGAAAUCUCAUAAAGAUGGAGUUACACAAGUUGUAAUACCAUAUUCUUAUAAAUGAAAUUUUUCUAACUCUGUAUUUAUAAUUUUAAUCUUCUAUGUUAGAAGUUGAAUUUGUUCCACGUCGCCAAGUUAUUGGGUUAUUAUGUUGUUCAUAUAUGUAGAUUGGUCACCUCUCCAAGCUAGCUUUUGGGAAUGAAUUCUAUUCAAACCCAUUUAACAUGGUAUCAGAGCUUGGUUUGACUGUGGGUUGUGGGUUCGAGCCACCUCUCUGCAAUUCGCAUGUUUGUUCCUUAUUUGCAUGUUUGGAAGUCUAGAAAAGGUUAUUUGCAUUUGUUUGUCUCUUCACGUGUGGAUAUGGGACCACACAUAAGAGAGGGUGUUAAAAAGCUUGAUAUGUACGUAUAUUGAACCUAAAUCUUAUAAGUUUAAGCUUUUAGGAAAAUUAGUAAUUCAACAUUCUAUACAUAAAAUUAUUUGAUGUCCAAUCAAUUGAUUCACCUACCUAUCAAUUAAUAUACUUUUAAAUAAAAUAUAUUUCAAUCCAUUACACAAAUAUAAUUAAAACAAAAUACUAUAGUAAUGUGAGUAUGUGAUAAAUAAAUAAAAUAAAAAUAAUCACGUGUUACAUGUAAACUAUAUUCAAAGGAAAAACCCACUAUUAAACAAUCCAUUGUAUAAUGAUCAAUUACAAAGACCAAGUAUUACCAAACUUAAAAGUAUCUAAAUCAUACUCACUUUGCACAUUUUCUUUAUACUUGGAUCCUUUAAACACAUUUAUCCCAAUGUGGAUGCAUCUUGAGUUCUAAUCAAGGAAAUCAACCUUUGAGUAAAAUUUUCAUCAAGUUAAAGUCUCUUUAUAUCAUUGAGAACCAUAUCAAGAUUUCUUUUUGUUGGUUGCUUUCAAAGUCCCACUAGAAUUAGAAUGAACAUUUUAUAAAUUCUAGGACUUUAACAUAUGAAUUCUUCAAUGAGUCAAUCAAAUAUUAAAUUUUAUCUCCAUAGAUGGACCUCAAUGAAUUUUUCAACAAAUUAAAGGUGUUAACACUAAUUUCAUAUUAGAAAAAAAAAAAAAAUCAUGUGACACAUAUUGAUAUAUAUAUAUAUAUAUAUAUAUAUAUAUAUAUAGGUGUUGUCUGGGAUAAAUAGAUUGAAUUCAUGAGAAAAUUAUUCUUAAUUUUGUAAAAAUUAUAUAUAUAAGAAAGUUUUUAGACUUACUAAAACACAUUACUAAUCAAGUGGUAAUAUUUAUAUCUCAUUAUUUUGUAAUCAAGUCUCAUUCAUUUGUAUCACAUAUGAGUCCUAUUAUUUUAUACCUUACUCUUAUUAUAUUGUACUUUGAUCUUAUUUGUUUAUACAUCGAUUUCAUUUCUUUAUAUGUUCAUCAUAUUUAUUUAUAUCUCGAUCUUAAUUAUUUAUAUCUUUCAAUAGUUUAGAUUUCAAUACAUAUUUUUAAAUAUUUUAAUUGGAAAUUCAAUAUCUUACUAUUUUUCUAAAUAGCUACCUAUAAUCCUUUGUAGACUCAAAAUUCACUUCAAGCCAUCAAAAAAAUCGACCUCUCUUUGUAAGUUGCUAUACUCAUUGCUAAACUAUAAUUCCAAAAAUAGCAGAACUUUUCAUACUUAUUCUAGGCAAUUAGAGUCGAGAUGUUCCAGGCAUAUACCAUUGUCUUUCAAGAUUUGAAAGAAAUGUUACGAUUUCAGCAUGAAAUAAUGCAUGUCGAUUAACAAUAUUGCUCAGAUUCUUUAGGCAAAGGUCCCAGCCUAGAGAUUGAUAAUGUUUCUUUGAAGCAAAAUGACAAAAUGGAAUAACACAAGAAAGCCAGAACCAAUUAAGUGUCCACAGACAAAAAAAUUUAUUUAUUUAUUUUCUGAACCACCCCUGAAAUUGACACCUCCCAUACAGUCUGCAUUUCUGUGGCACUAUUUCCCUUAUUCCUAACCAUAAAUCUGCUGCCAUCUCAAUAAUUCACAUCCUUAUCCACUCCUUAUCUAGGGUUGUAACACUUUUUUCAAAAAGAUUUUUUUUUUUUUUUUUCUAAGGGGUGGAUAAGGGUCCUGAGACAAGCUGUGGAAUAAUUAUAAACCCACUUGGGUAAUGGUUUCAUUGUCAGGGUAAUACUAUUUAAGGUGAAAAUCAGCUGGGUCUAUCAUUCUUGUUUCCAUAUGACUGUUUCCAAGGAUAACUCAACCUUCAAAUCCAUCGAGCAGUCAUAUAAAAAUACACGCAGAUUUCAUAUUUUGAAGCUUGUCCUGUGUUCAGAUCGGAUAACUCACUCAUAUGCCUAAUCACCAAUCGCCAACUUGAGCGUAAAAAAAGCGUGGGGCGAUAUUAUUUGUAUAUGGGUUUGACUGUUUGAGAGAGAAAGGUGGGGUGUCCCUUGGAGGAGUCCAAAGGCCAUUUUUGAACCUGCCUUUGAUUAUCGCCAUGGCAAAUCAACAGCUUGUAGUGUAUAUAUAUAUAUAUAUAUAUAUUAAUGGAGACCAAGACUCAAAUAGAGAGAGAGACGCGGGAUGCGAUAAAGAGAACAGUAUAGCCAAGAGUAUAUAAGCAUUUCUAUUGCUGUAAUGGUGAUUCAGAGACUGGAAAUGUGUAUAUCACUGCUGAAAAUGGCAGUAGAGUUUGUGCUUGUUUUCGCGGAGGCAGUCGGGCUAGUCAUCAACCACAAUGCCACGCCGCUUUUGGCAAACUCAGCCUCAGUUGGCAAUGAUGUUUCUGUCCCUUUUAUCGGUUUUCUUCUUUGAAUUCUUCGUCUUGUAGUUUCCUUCCUUAGCAGAAUGCCCAUUGGCCAUUGUAUACGUUGAGGUUUCAUUUUUGUCUUGAUAGAUUUUGCCUUGGAAAGUGUCUGUACUACCAGCUAAAAGAUGUGAAUGUUUGAUAGGAGAGAGUACAUAUAACAUCUUUGUAAACUUCGAUUAAUUUUGGUUCUGGGUGAGCUUCAUCUUCUGCAAAUUCAUUUGCUGGUAGCUUUGGAAAUGAAUCUUCAGUGGUUUGGGUGGUGAUUAUUUGCUUGCUUCACACGAUUUUAUGUGUUGUUCCUUUGGUAAUAAUCUUGUUGGAUGGAUCAAGGAGGAGCGAUGAUCAGGAAAAUAAAGUCGGGAGAAAGAAAAGAUAUAAUGAUGAUUAAGAAAGGCUUUAAUAUACUUGCAAGAUCAGGAAAAAAUAUUUCUUGGUUAAUCAAUUAUUUUCUUGCUUGAUAUGGGUUUGAUACUUUUUGUCAAUUGGUGAUCAUUCUGGGAAGAUCAGGAAGAAGAAAAUGGGGUCUAGAUGAAGAAAAGCUAUAAUGGUGAUUAUUAAUUGAAAUCAGAUGAAAUAAAAGUCUGUUUCCAUCAUUCUUAAUAGGGUUUCAUAGUCCCCGCAGGACUUUAGUACUCAUCAAACUCAUAAAUUUUGAACAACUUUGAGCUAACCUUCUGCAUUAAUUUGGUGCAUCUGCGCAGUUGCAGAGUAUGAACACCCACAAAAUCUUAAUAUGAAUCUUUUGGGGCAAUAGCUUCUAUAUAUGAUGGAUGAUAAGAACAAAGCAAAUCUUGGGUUCUCCAUGGCCACGAUCAUUUAUCCGCCAUAUAAAAUGCAGAUUUUCCUAACACCAACCCCUUAUUUUAAUAAAGUCAAGUUAUUUUAAGGCCCCCAUUAUUAGACAUGCCCUAGAAGCAUUGGGUCUGUGAUUAAAAAAAUGUAGUAAUAUCAUUUAAAAUAUCUAACACUGAAAUUUUGAUAAUUUUGAAUGUCAUAGUGUGGAUUUGAAGAAAGAAAUCGUAUCCAAGAUCUCUUCCUUUUCCUGGGAAACAUUAGUCUUGGUCAAUUAUGAACUGUUACACGUUACCUAUCAUGAUCAUAUUUAUAUUAGCUUUGAUUUCUAUGGGGGUUAUAAUUUAUUUGUAUGCUAAUCAUAGAGGUGAUACAUGUGAUCCACAUGUCAUAUUUGGACUUGGAACCAAUCAUUGGAUUCCUUUGAUGAACUGGCAAUGGAAGAAUACUAAUUGCUCCGGUCCCUUUCUUUUUUCAACGUAGGAUGAUCAGGUCCUUUGAUCUCUUCCACACCCACUGGCUGUUUUUCUUUGUUCCUUUUUCAAUCAUCCAUAGCUGAAAAGCCUUGAUGCCCUCCUUGACUUUCCCAAGAUAAAACACCUUAUCUUCACUUUCUUUCUUUUCCCUUUAAAUUUGAUUUUAGAUCUGAAAUCCAGGGCUUAUGACCCUGUAGAAGAAAGACAGAUAUGAAGCUUGGGAUGAUUUGAACUUCAGUUUGAUUUUCUGCACACUGUUUAAAACUCCUGAAAUAUAGUUGUAUAUUGCAAUACAUUUAUAAUUGAUACAACUGAACCAUGAUGUUUCUAUUAGUAAAAAUUUCUUUGAAUCAAUCCACAGUUCAAAGUACCAAUUUCAAUUGAAACUUUUUUCUUUUCCUGCUUAUUCAAUUGUUUCGUUUUCCACAUAAUGGUAUGACAACAUCAAGAAUACUUCUCAGCAAUUGCCUGCAGGUGAACCCAAAGCUCUUUUGGCUGAGACAUCAUGACCAUGUGAUCAGAUCCUUUAAUCUCUUUAACAGCAUCAGGUGGGUUUUCUUCGAUCAUCCAGAGUUGAAAAUCCUUUUUCGCCAGCUUGUCUUCCUCAGAAAUAAUAAAGACACGUUUAACCGAGGCAUAUUUCUUCGACAACAUGAGAUCCUUUGACAUGUCUUCUUCACUGAACAAGCGUAAGGGUCUCAUCAACAUAGUCCCUAGUGCCAAGUCCUGGAAAAUUUGUGCCCAAAAUGAUAUAACAACAACAAUGAAAAGUCUCAUGAUUUUGGCUGUAAGGCCUGAAUUAAUGAAGUUCUCACCUCAGUUGGGCUCAACUGAUACACAUUCAGUGAUGAGAACAAGGGGCCAAAGGUGAAAGUGGUGGGAGGAUUGUUGGGGCCAUUAUCAUAUGUGAACUGGCUGUCUAGUAGAGGACCUUGUCUCCUGAGUGACUUCAAUAAGAAGUAGAAACCAGGCUAAAAGUCAGAAACAGGGGAAGCCUUCCCCUCUUAAUCAACAAGUAAAUUUCUGUAAAAGAAAAAUAGUAUGUAUGAAGUACCUCUUGAUUGAGAGUGGAAAUGUUGAGAGUGGGACCAGGCAUUGAGGCAGUAACAAAAACAGCUACAGAAACCUUUUCUGGGAACUUCUCCAUGGCCUGAGAAAUGGCCAACCCACCCAAGCUGUGUCCAACGAGAACCACCCUUUCAUCUGCAGGGAGUGACUCCAUGAAGUCCCUCAGUGGCUGGAAAUACUCAGAAAUAGAUCGCAGAUCACCCACUUGUUUUGGGUUAAUUCCAGAAGCAGCCAAGUCCAGAGCAGUGACUUUGUGGCCAGAUGAUUUUAGUAGUGCCACAAUCUUGUACCAAGACCAGGCACCAUGGCAAGACCCAUGAACUAGAACAUAGUGCUUGACGGGAUUAGCCUGUCUCCCCUCUGAUGCCAUUGAAUACACUGAAGAAACAAGAAAAAUCAGAAAGGAAACUAAAAUCGUAUGCUUCUUCCUUUCCUGCGUACUCCUUUCCUGUUACAGAGAUGGUCAGCACCCAAGCAUUUUAAAGGGCACAAUUGGCUUUCACUACAACUACUAAUCUAAUGGAUUAAAAUUUUUCCUGUGAAAUUGACUCUAGAAAUAAAAUAAGGAUUAAGGAUUCAAGAAUAUGUACACAUAGACUGCCAGGGUUUAAAAGAUGACACAUGCACCUGCGUCACACUCUUUUUCAAUGAUAAAGAAGUUAUGCAAAGGAAGAAAGAAUGAAAUAUACAGAGUCUAGUAGUUAACUCCUCCCCUUGAAUUCUUCUGUUGCCCGGAUUGGUUUGUAACUGCAAACAUUUUCUUUUCCCAAUGUGAUCUGUGGAUUGAGUUCUGAUCUCAAUUUGUUUUUGGCAUUUUUGGUUUUGCUUCUGCAAAUCUUGAGAUGUAUCUUUCAAUUAAUAUAAGUAAGUUAUGCAGUAAAGGUUUUUGGACAUAUAAAAUGUUAGCCAAACCUUUCCCAUGGCGGGUUGAAGGUACUUUGGGGUAGGCUUGGUCACGCUUGAUACCUCAAUCGGACUGAAACAUGAUGUUUUCACCCAUUUGAAUUGGUCAAAGCUGUGUUGACUGGCAUGAUUCCUUUAAUAAAGAAGUUGUUUUUGGAUUAAGGCCUACAACACCAAUUUCACUUAAAUACAUCUAUUUAAUAAUUAUGUAUUAACAUAAUUAUAAUCAAUUGAGUCGAAAACAAUUAAAUUAAAAAGUUAAUUAUAUUGACUUAAAUAAAAUCUGACUCAACCAGAUUAUUAAAUAAAUUACUCAACUUAUUACAUGUUUAAUAAUUAAGUCGUAUUUGGGUUUAUACUUUUAACUCAAUUAUUAUUCAUGUUAUAUUUGUGUUGACUUAUUAAGUCACAGUAUCUAAAUUUAAUUUGAUAUGACAUGAACACUACCCACCAACAUUAAUUGUAUCCCCUGUUUUAAGUUCCGGUGGCAUCAUGAGUUUGGCCUCUGUUUUGAGUGUUGAAUUAACCUUUCCCAUGGUUGUCAAGUUCUUCAUAAAUUAUUGGUGAUUGUAAUAAUUUCCUCAUAAAUUAAUGGCGCUAUAUGCUUCUUUAGGAUCCAUUGAUCUUACUAAUUCUCUUCCUGGUAUGGGAAGAAAAUGACUCUUCCAUUAAUGCAGCAUGCAUUGCUACUUAUUUAUCAAGCAAAUUACAUUAUUAUUUUCACACCAAACCUCCAAAUUCAUCAUGUACUUAUCCUAUAUACUACAUGGUGAACUUUAGAGAGCUAAAACAAGCUCUUCUUGAUUAAAGAUAGAUAAUGUCCUAUUGACCUUUUUACUUUGAUGCCUUGAAAUGAGAAAUUUGGAUGUUUUCUACAUCAAGCUUCUUGAAAUUAUUGUGCUUUCUCGUAGUAAAGAAUUUUCCCAAGUUGUGUACUUUGGCUUUUCCCCCUUUGUCAUCUCCUCCAAGGGUUGCACCCAAACACGGUGUUCGGGAUUGAAAAAGAACGGAAUCAAAAACCUUUCCCUCUCUGAAUUCACCAUCACCCUAUGCUCCACACUCUCAUAAGUAUCGUUGCUCCAUACCUGAUUUAAUAUCAAGAUAAUUAGACAAAUGGGUGUGUAAAAUUCCUUGAGCCAAACUGUACUGAUAAGCAAGUACUAAAGACGAUACAGGCUUUGAGAGUUAAAGGUCGUUCUUUCUAUAAAUCAAGGCAAUAAGUAUAUAUACAACAUACAACAUAGUUGCUGUUACAGGCUUACCAAAUUAAUUCCACAAUAAAGGAAACUAUACAUGGUUGGUUACCAAAACAAAAAUAGGAGAUUAGCUAUACAUAUUACUAAAAUAUAGGAUUUGAUAAAGAUUGAAGUGGACUUUCAAAUGAACCAUUUUCCUUAUCAUGACCCCUCAAGAUAGACUUCGAUUGAAUGCCUAGCUUGACGCACAAGUGUUGUAGAUGAGCUAAGGAUUGUGGCUUUGUUAAGGCAUCAACAAGUUGAUCCGCGAAAGCAAAAUGAGGCACGCGAAAAGUGUAAUCUUGAACUCACAAAAUGAAAAUAAAUAGCAAUAUGCUUCAUCCAAAAUGUAAAAUUAGGUUGGCGCAUAAGUAGGUGGUACCGACAUUAUCACAAUAGAUUGGCAUGGGUUUGGGAACUGAAAUACCCAACUCAAGUAAUAGGGAGUUAAGCCAAAGAAGUUUGGAAGAAGUUGUAGCUACAACAUGAUACUCUACCUCAGUUGAGGAACGGGCAACAAAUGUUGCUUCUUUGAACUCCAAGAAAUGACAUUAUGACCUAAAAACACAACAUGAGCACUAGUUAAAGUACGAUCAUCACGAUCACCAAUCCAAUCUACAUCGGAGAAGGCAUGAAGGCUAAGAGGGGAUCCUUUUCGAAGAAACAAACAAUGAUGCGUUGUACCUUUAAGAUAACGGAGAAGAUGUUUGAGUGCCAACCAGUGAGUGGUAGUAAGUCUAUGCAUGAAUUGAGAGAGUUUAUUGAUUGAGAAAGCAAUGUUUGGUUGAGUGAAGAAGAGGUACCGAAGACCACCAACAAUAGAUCGAUACUUAGUCGAAUUGGUCAAGGAUGUGCCAUCCACAAGGCUAGGUAUCUGAGAUGUUGACAUAGGAGUUGUGAAUGACUUGGAAUCCAUCAUUUUUGUGUGCUCCAAAAGAUCUAAAACAUAUUUGUGUUGAGAAAGAAAGAGACCAAAUGAGCUUGGAAUAACUUCAACCCCUAAAAAAUAAGAGGCAACACCUAAAUCUUUAAUGGAGAACCGAGUAGCAAGUGUGUGAACAAAAUGAUUGAGAGUACCAUCAUCAUUGCUAGUAACAAUAAUAUCAUCAACAUACACAAGUAGGAAAAUGGUAAAUAGAGACUUCUUAUGGAUGGACAAUGAAGUGUCAAAUUUGGGGUAGAAACUGCUUCACAAACCCUUGAUGGAGUAGAAACUGCUUCAGUUCUUGAUACAAGGCACAUGGUGCUUGUUUGAGGCUAUAAAUAGCUUUCUUAAGAUGACACACAUGGCUUGGAAACUAAGGAUCAACAAACCUUGGUGGUUGAGCCAUAAACACAUUUUUGGCAAAAGUCCCAUGAAGAAAAAGCAUUGUUCACAUCAAGUUGACAAAGUGACCAAUUGAAGGAAAAUGCAAGACUAAGAAUGAGUAGACCAGUAGUAGGUUUCACAACCGGGCUGAAUGUCUUAGCAUAGUCAAUACCAGGGAGUUGAUGAAAACCCUUGGCGACAAGAGGAGCCUUGUAUUGAGCAAUAGAGCCAUCAGGAUUGCGUUUGAUUCGGAAAAUCCAUUUGCAACCAACUAGAUUCUGUGACUUAGUAGAAGGAUUCAACUCCCAUGUGCCAUUAUGAAGAAGAGCAUCAAAUUCUUCAAACAUAGCUUAACACCACUCAAGAAGCUUUAAAGUUUGGGUAACAUAGGCAGGUGCAACAUCAGGAGUGGUAGAGACAAAAGCAUACUUGGUGGAUGGUUUGAAGACAUUAUUCUUGGAUCUUGUAACCAUGGGAUGGGUGUUGAGGGUAGGGGGUCGAGUGGGUGGGAUGGGGGAAGGGGUAGGAUGUGGGGUUGAAAGCAAGAUUGGGCUUGGAGGGAAACUAUGUUGGGAUUGUGUAGUCUCAGCAUUGGGGGGUAAUAUAAUUGACUGGCCAGCAAGAGUGGUAUCAUGAAUGGUCGAAUGCUUAACUGGAGUGGUACCUAAGAUUGUAUUGUCCUGUGAUGAGGGAAUUGAUACGAGAGGGAAUGGAAUAGAUGGGACUAUGGUGGGUGGAGGUUUCUCGGCAGUUGAAGAAAAGAGGACCAUUAUCUCAACAAAGGUGACAUGAUGAGAGGUGAAUAACUUGUGGGAAACUCGAUCAAGGCAAAGGUAUGCACUUUGUGUAAGAGAGUAACCUAAGAAGACACAUGGACGAGAUUUGGAUUGAAGUUUGUGGUCAUUAUAUGGGAGUAACUAAGGAUAACAAAGACAACCAAACAUUCAUAAUUUGUCAAGAAUUAGGUUUGUGAUUGAAUAAUUUCUCAUAGGAAGAGAGGAAUGAGAGGUUUGGUUUAAGCAUUCGAUUAAUAAGAUAGACUAUAGCUUAAAAGGCAAAGGGCCAAAAAGAAGUAGGAAUGGAUGCAUGAUGGAAAAGGAUGAGUCUGGUUUUGACAAUGUGUCUAUGAUGACGUUUGGAGUAACCAUUAUGCUUAGGAGUAUGAGGUGGGGUGGUGAGAUGAGUAAUGCUAGCAAGAGCAAAAUAAUCUUUUAACGCUAGAAAUUCACCACUAUUGUCAUAAUAGAUUUGAAUUAUUUUGGAACUGAAGUAGUUUUCAACUAGAGCUUUAAAUCGAACAAAAACAUCAUAGACAUUAGAUUUCUUUUGAAGUGGAUAUAACCAGACAUAUUUGGUGAAGUGAUCGACAAAGAUAACAUAGUAUUUAAAGUUAUCAUUUGAUACAAUGGGAGAACUCCAAACAUUUGAGUAAAUAGUUUGUAAAUGAGAUGAACUUGUAAUAGAUGAUGUAGAGAAAGGUAGUUUAUGACUUUUAUUGCACUUACAAGAAUUACAAGCAAAAGUAGAAAUAUCAUUAGAUGAUAAAGAAUGACUCUUAGAGGAAACUAAAUAUUGAAGAACUUUGGAAGAGGGAUGACCAAGUCGAUGAUGCCAAUUUGGAAGUGAAGUCUUAACAUUGGAAAAUACAAUCAAAGGUUUUUUCGUAGUAGGAGAAUUCAACCAUACAUAAAAACCACCACUAUAGAAUAUAGAAUAUAAUUUUAUAUUUAAUUAAUUUUGCAUUUAAAUAAUAUAUGAUAAAGAUAUUACUUUUAUAUUUAAAUAAUAUAAGAUGGUAAUGAGAUAAAAAUGAAUGUUUUUAUGGUUAUAGGAAUAAAGAAAAAUAAAAUAAAAAAGAUUUCAAUUACUUAAUUAAUAGUAAUCCUAAUUUAAUUUCAAUUAAUAUUAAUCUUAUUUAUAUCUUUCCUUUCUUGAAUAUACCAUAAAAAGAUUUAAGUAGUAAAUAAAUACAUGGGUAGAAGGAUACAUCCAGUCAUGAGGUGUACCUAUAUAUUAAUUUUAUAUUUAAAUAUUAUAGAAUAUAAUUUUAUAUUUAAUUAAUUUUGCAUUUAAAUAAUAUAUGAUAAAGAUAUUAGUUUUAUAUUUAAAUAAUAUAAGAUGGUAAUAAGAUAAAAAUGAAUGUUUUAUGGUUAUAGGAAUAAAGAAAAAUAAAAUAAAAAAGAUUUCAAUUACUAAAUCAAUAGUAAUCCUAAUUUAAUUCCAAUUAAUAUUAAUAUUAUUUAUAUCUUUCCUUUCUUGAAUAUACCAUAAAAAGAUUUAAGUAGUAAUCUGGGAUAGAUAUUAAUUUUAUAUUUAAGAAAUAUAGGAUAUAAUGUAGAGAAUAGAGAUACACAAACAUAUUUUAUAUUUAAGUAGUAAUCUUCAUGAGCUUUACACAAACAAAAAACUUAGAUGUUUACAUCAUCUAGAAGCCCCACUUCGCCUCUCUCUCAGCCCUCAGCCCUCAGGCUUAAGAAGUUGUCAUGAGAAACCUAACACAAACCUUUCUUAUAAUUAUUGUUCAUAGUCGUAGCUACCAAGAAUUCCAAGUUAGGAAGAAAAAAAGAAUCAUAAAUACAGCAAAAAUAACUUCCACUACAUGCGGCAGCAGGGGUACCAAAUUAGGGAAAUUAAGAAGUAAACCAUGCCCAAUCAAUUGCUGGGAAAUAUUAUUUGGAUAUCAAAUUAGGGAAGCUAUUAAGUGUGGUUUUUGUAGUGUUAAAUCAGAGAGAAAUUUAAUUAUAUUAUGAAUUUCAAAUUUAAUUAUUCUAAGAACAAUGAAUUACUCUAAUAGAAUUUAAUGUAUAAAAACAUUUCAAACACUCGCAACAUAUAUCAUUUUCAUUUUUUCCAAAAGCACCAAAACCCUAUAACAAUGAAAAUAAACCCAAUAACAAUGGAAAUAAACCAAAUAACAAUGGAAUCUCAAACCUAAUCACAAACAUUUCCAAAAUACCAACUAACAAAACCCAAAAAAAAAAAAAAAUUCCCAAAACUCACCAAAACCUAGAGAGAUGAUUUUCACGGGAGUUUCUUGGAGGUGGCUUCAGCUUUACCGACCAUAGCUUCCAUGGGGCUUCUUCAGCAUGGCUUCCAUAAGCUUUUUUUGACAAUAGCUUCCUCCAAGCAAUGGGGGUUGUGGGUAGGUUUUGUGGGUUUUAUGGCCGUGGGUUUUGGAGAGGAAGAGAAAAUGGGUUGGCAGGAGAGAGAAAGAAAGGCUUUAUAUUCGAUUAGGAAAGUGAUGUGGCCGUGGGGUAUACCCACAUGGUUAAAAGAAAGACAUUUUUCCAUUAGAAAAAAAUGUCUCAUGGCUUUUUUUAUUGUUAUUGUUAUACCCAAAAAAAAUAAUUUAAUUUUAUUGUUAUACCCUAAAAUUUUUUUAUUGUUAUUGUUAUUGUUCUGUGUUCAGAACUAUUAAUUUAAAAAGUUUUUCAAGUUUUAAAAUUAUCAAAUUUUUAAAAUUUACAAUUAUUUUAAAAUUUUAAAUUUACAAUUAUUUUUAAAAUUUUAAAUUUAAAUUAAUUUUGAAAGUUCAAUGUUUUACUCAAAGUGUUAUUCUAAAAUUUUUAUUAAGUUUUAUCAAGUUUUUUAAGUUUUAAAAUUAUCAAGUUUAAAAUUUAAAAAUUUUAUAUAAAUACAAAGAAUAAUUAAAAAUAAAAUAUAACAUAUAAAUGUUAUUUUUUAAAACAUAUUUAAAAACAUAAAAAAUAUAUAUUAAGAAUAUUUUAGGUUUCUAAAUCAACUUUUAUUUUAAAAUACAUCGGCAAAAAAAUUUUUAAAAAUGUUUUAAAAAACCGUUUUUUGUAUAAUUGUUUAUGAAAAUGUCAAAAUACUUCACAAAUAAACCAGUUCGAGUCCCCUCAGGGCCUCGUGGGAUUAGUCGAGAUGUGCUUAAGCUGGUCCGGACAUCCACGGUUAUAAAUAAAAAAUAAAAAUAAAAAAAUAAAAAAUACUUCACAAAUAAAACUAUAAUUUAUUGGUAUUUUUGUGGGCCUUAGGUGUUAGGAAAUGUUAUAUGUGCAUCCUACUCCUACUCUGUCUUCAUUAUUUUCAGUCCCUUUAUAUCUUAUACCAAUCUACUAUUAUUUUAUCAUAUGGUAUCAGUUUUUCAUAUUUGAUGAUAUUAAUUUCUACCUUAUCCCAUAUGCUUGUAGCUUAAUUUCAUUAUACAUUUGGACAACAGAAUUUCAGACUUCCAUUUGGUACUAAAUAUAAUAAACAUAAACAGAGAAUGAUGCAUUUAAGAAUAUUUUUCCAUGAAUUUUAACUUUAUAAAUUUGUUAAUUUUACAAAUUUAAGAAUUAUAAAAGUUUAGAACUUUUAUUUUUAAUCAUAAACAGAGGAUGUUAUUUUUGUAGUUAUAAAUUGUUUUUGUAUUGCAAAAAUCAUAAAGAUUAAAUAAUAUUUUAUGAUUGAAAAUUAAAUAAAACUAUAAACAAUUUUACUAGUAAUUGUUCAUAGUAAAAUUUAGUUAUCAUGACUAUUGAUACUUUAAAUAUAAUAAGAAUUAUUUAUCAUAUAUAAAAUCAAAAUUGUUUUUUAAUUUGCUAACUCACUUGCAUUUAAACUUUUUAUCAAAUAAUAUCAAAUUGAACCAUCAUAUUUUUAAACUAAUUUAUUAAACUUUAUUUUGCUUCUUAUUAAAACAUUAAUUAUAACAAGGAAAUUAAAUAAUUUUAACUAAAGAAAAAUAGGUAACACACUAAUUUGUUUCUUAACUUAAAAAAAAAUAGUAAUAUAACUUUAAACUUUUUAUAAUUAAUAAGAACUAUUAUUAUUACUAUUAAUGAUAAUUUCUAUUUAUGAUAUAUAUAUAUAUAUAUAUAUAAGAUUUUCUAAAAAAUUAUAAUAGGUAACCCAAAAAUUGUUUAAAAUAAAUAAUAGACUUUGGUCACGAUUGUGUGAACCCCGUGGCCAUAGGUUCAAAAUAUUUAAAAAAAACUCUAUGCAUUGGUAAUGGUCAAGCGAAAUUUGUAACUACAGGUUCUUAUACAGUCACGGUCAAUCAAUGGCGUGACUAAAAGUCACGGUCAAUCAAUCACGUCACUCAAAGUCACAAAAUAUCUAUUUAGUGACGGUUUCACAAAAACCUGUGACUAAAACAUCUUUUUCAUUACACUUUUUGUCACGGAUGAUAAAAUAACCGUGACUAAAGUUAUUGGCGCCAAAAUUUCCCUCCAUAAAUUUACAAAUAGUCACAGUUUUAAAUAAAUCCGUGACUAAAAUACCUCUUAUUAAUCCUUUUGGUGACGGUUGAUAAAAUCACCGUGACUAAACAUGUUUUUUUUUUUUUCCAAAUUUGAUUUAACACAUAUAGUCACAACCUUACCCAAUAAUAUCUUUGGUGGGCCGUGACUAAAGAUUCGUCAUUAAAAAUCUAUUUUUUUGUAGUGCUAGUUGGUCCAUGCAAAAUUCUUGCCCCCGUACAUAGACCAUUCACAUAAAAACAAGUGGGUAAGAAUUCAAUGAAAACAUUAUUUGUUAAGCAAAAUUGGGAAAUUGAAAUCAAGUUCUUUUUCAUGGUGAGAACACAAGGGAUAUUAUUAAGUUGAAGUAGCUUUAAUGCAGUUGGGAGGGUGGUGGAUCCUGUGUGUGUGAUUUCUAGACCUUUACCAUCACCAAUAAUUAUGUCGUCUGGGCCAGCAUAGUCGGAAUGCAAAGAUAGAUUCUGAAGAUCAUUAGAUAUGUGGUGUGAGGCACCAAAAUCCAAGACCCAAUUUGGAGAGACAACAGUUGGUUGAGUUGUCGCAUGUGUUUGUGCAGAAGAGGGGCGGUAACUGUAAUUGGGUGGAACACCAUGAUGUUGACUGGCAAUAUAUCGAAAUGAUGGACAUCUUUUCGCUGAGUGUCCUUGAACACCACACAAUUGACAAGUCCCCUUAUAUGGAUGAGGGGUGUGAUUCGAAGUAUUCGAGGUAGUCAUUGGUUGAGGUUGUUUGGAUGUACGGUAUUGAGACGAAGAGUAAGGCUGUUGAUUGAAGAAUCGAUGCGAUUGUGGUUGUUUGGUAGCAGCAUUGGUGGAAGCAGGCAAUGAGACAUUCCAAGAAGAAUACUUGGCAGAUUCUCAUAAAGUUUGAGCCUCAAGAGGAAGCAAUUUCUCAUAAAGUUCCUCAAAGGAAAAACAGUUUCAUGGGCAUGGAUGGUUGAGUGUAAAUCUUUGUACAUCUCAGGCAAACCAUGAAAUAUUUGAAUAAUGAAGUCCUCAGGGUCUAUGGUGACGUUCAUGAGAUAGAGAACAUCAACGCAAAUUUUAACAAAUUGCAUAUACUGUGUUAUGGACUGAGUGCCUUUGGACAAGUUGUCGAGUUGAGUCCGAUAAUGAAUUAUUCGGCUUCGAGAUGCUUUAGCAUAGGUGUUGUGAAGUGUAGACCAAGCCUCAAGGGAGGUUGUGGCUGAUGCAAUGAAUGAGAAAAUUGUUGGACUAAGUGAUGAAACAAUAGCAUUAAGAAGAUGGUCUUGACGAAUCCAAUGGGUGUAAGCUGGGUUUGGGGUUGUAGUACCCUUUUCAGAAGUAAGAGUGCUAGAAGGACAUGGUAAAGUGCCAUUGACAUAUCCCAGUAAAUCAUAACCGACUAGGAGAGUGUAAAAUUGGAGUCUCCAUGCAGAAAAAUUGUGUUGAGUGAGUUUGAUGGGGGUUUGGGAAGAGGCGUUUAUGGCUAUGAGGUUUUGAGUAGUGUAUAUAGAGAUGUUGGCAGCAGUGUCGAUGGAGGAAACAAUUGAGGGGGAAGGGCUAGAGCCUUCGUUGGUUUAUGGGUUUGGUGAGGCAUGAGAAUCAACUAUGUGAGCUAUGGUUGCUCUGAUACCAUAAAGACGAUACAGGCUUUGAGAGUUAAAGAUUGUUCUUUCUAUAGAUCAAGGCAAGAAGUAUAUAUAUAGUAUACAACCUAGCGUUACAGACUUACCAAAUUAACUCCACAAUAAAGGGAACUAUACAUGGUUGGUUACCAAAACAAAUAUAGGAGAUUAGCUGUACAUAUUACUGAAAUAUAGAGACGAUCACGGAGGAUUUGAUAGAGAUUGAAGUUGACUUUCAAACGAACCAUUUUCCUUAUCAGGUACUAAUUCAAAGUUCUUGGGUGGUACUUGAAUUAUAUCCCCAACAUUGAUGAUAUAUGCAUCUAGGGUGGGCUUAACUCGAAUCCAUUCUCCAUCAGUUUUUUGCUUUACUUCCAACCCUCUGACAUCAUCCUGGGCAAGGAUGGUUAAGGCUUCGGCAUCCUUUUGGCAACGAACACCCAGAGCUAGGUGAGGGAUGGGGCAUGGUGGGUAGUGAUUGAGGCGGAUGAAGGUAGUUGAUUCUUCAAAGAAAAGAUUGAAUCUGUUUUCCGGCAAACCUAAGCUCAGAGAGAUGAGUCCCAACAUCUUGAAAGCUAGUUUUUCCAUUUCUCUAGCAUAUUCUUCACAUACCUCCCUGUAUAAAUUGGUUCAAUUAGAACCAAAAAACCAAGUAAAUCAUUGAAGUGACUCUGCCUUAGCUGGUGGAAUUUGUACCUUAAUUCAGGAGAGUACUGAGGCCACUGAUUGAUCAACUCUUUGAGCUCCUUGUCGUCAGGAUCAGGCGAAGCAGGGAUGAAGGCGGGGGAUGACACCACGAAAUCAAAGACUUCCUUCCAGUCCCUAACGUUCUUGGUAUGCUCAGUAUCAAAAUACCACAAAGGAUUCACCCCAUCUCUACUCACCUUCCUCUUCUCCUACAAUGGCAGAGCGAAGAACUUCCUCGCCGCAUCCUCAAUUUUCCGGCGAGACUCCGAGGGCAUCCCAUGGUUGAUGACUUGAAAGAAGCCUCGAUUCUUGGAUGCAUCAGCUAUUUGAGAAACAUGGUUAGAGGCAUUGGCGGAAGAGAGAUCAAUGAGUGGGAUGCCUUCAGCUUCGAUAACAACGAGCUUAGGCCCAUGUUGGGUGUCUUGGAUGAAGGCUGGAUCGACCUCUCCCAUGGCUGUGGUAGUGAUUAGAACCUAGAAAUGGUGGUUAUGCACUGGUAGCUGCAGGUUGAGAUUGUGAAGGGGACUUGGGCCACUUGGCAGGUGAUUUUUGUAGUGUAGUGGGGUUGGUUUGGUUCAUUGAACCUUGACAUAAUGACAUAAAUGGGAUACGUUUUAUAAGUUCAAGGAAUCAUGGUAUUUGGAAAAUAUGAAUGAGUUGAAAAUUUUAAAAAAUAGGUUUAUAGGAGUAUAUUUUAAGGAAAAUAAUUUUCAAAUCAUAUCAUGUAUAGGAUAGUGACUUUGUACAUGUUUGAGGGGAAUCAUGUCAAAGUGCACUAUUUGAAAAACAUGGCUAAAUUGUAAACUUAAAAAAGUGGUUUCAUGGAGAGUACAUUAUGAGAAAAAUAAUUUCCAAAUCAUGUACUAAAAUAAUAACUGUAUCCAUGCUUCCAAAACUACUAUUCAACAUAUUUUCAUCAUGUCACAUUUUCCUAUGACGUCAUUGCCCUCAUUUCUUAGAAGAAAAACCCUUUCUGUUCUACUUUACUUUACACUGUUUGUUCCUAUAACCCUUUCCUUUUUUUAAUUUUAAUUUUUUUAAAAAAAUAUUUCUCAUCUAUUUUCUCGAUUUUUAAAAUUCUAUUUAAUUAAAAAAAUUAGAAUUUUUUUUAAAGUACAAUUCAUUUAUUUAUUUUUUCAUUUUAUUUAAAUGUGAUGUAUAAUUAAUACAUUAACAUAAAUUAGUUUUUAAUAUAAAAAUAUAUUCAUCUAUAAUAAUUAAAAAUCUAAUAAAUAAAUAAAUAAAUAAAUAUUAGUAUUUUAAAUAAUAUUGAUUUCGUAUAUACAAUAUUUUAUUUUGUUUCAUUAUUAUAGAUCUCAUUUUCUAUAUUUUUUAUUUCUAAUUUUUCUUAUAGAAUUUUAAACCUAGAUUUUUUAAAAAUGAAAUUUAAAAAAACACUAGAAAUUAAAGUUUUUGUUUUCUUCAAAAUAAAAACAAAAAAAAAAUAAUAUACAAAAAAAAAAUAUUAGUUUACCUUUAAUUUCAUUCAACAAAAAAUUAGUAAUGAUAAUUUUUUAAGAGUAUUUAAUUUUAAAAGUAAUAUUUGAAGAUAGGUAAAAUAAAAAUUUUAAAAGUGUUUGUAUUAAAAUUUUGAAUAUAAAUUCACAACUCCCAUCAUAAUACAUUGAUAUUUAAAAUAAAAAAAACCCCUAAUGAUUUUUUUUUAUUAUAUUAAACAUGUAAAAAAAGUACAUUUUUGUUUAAUUAAAAAUUUAAACCAUUAAAAUUGUUUUUUUCUUUAAUAAAUAAUGUUUUUAAAGAGUACAUUAUACCUAUUUUUUUGGGCAUGUUAUUUAAUAAUUGCUACCAAAGUCAUAACAAUGACAAUAAAAAACUAAAUAUAAUAGUGCAUAUUUGCUAUCUAUAGUGGUACUUUUAGUUACUAACAUUAUUAUUUUUAAGUAAAAAUAAUGUUAUUAUUUCCUGACAUAUUUGAUGUAGAGGUUGAAGUGAUGACAGUGCUAAAUAAGUUAGUACAUCCUAUUAUCUACAGUGAUAUUUUUAGUUACUAUUAUUAUUAUUUUUAGGUAAAGACAAUGUUACUAUCUCUAGUGAUACAUUUGAUGUAUGGAUUGGAGUGGUGAUAGAUGAUGUAACAACUGUGUAUAUGGGGUCAAUCAAGUGUAAUUGUCCUCUUAUUUGUAUAGAUCGCAACCCACCUCCGACAGUGGUUGAAAAGUAGUCUUGGAAGCAUAUCACCAAAGGGACAUUUUGAAUAAUAAUUUGGGAAAAAGCGUUCAUCAGACAUAGCCUAAAAAGUAUAUCCCAACAUUGCUGUUUAUUUAUCAAGCAAAUUACAUUAUUAUUGUCACACCAAACCUCCAAAUUCAACAUGUACUUAGCCUAUAUACUGGAUGGUGAACGGGCUAAAACAAGCUCUUACUGAUUACAGAUAGAUACUGUCCUACUGACACUUUUACUCUGAUACCUUGAAAUGAGAAAUUUGGAGGUUUUCCACAUCAAGCUUCUUGAAAUUGCUGCGCCUUCUCGCAGAAAAGAACUUUCCCCAGUUGUAUGCUCUGUAAUUUUGCUUUUCCCCCUUCGUCAGCUCCUCCAAGGGCUUCACCCAAACAUGCUGCCCGGGAUUGAAAGAGAACGGAAUCGAAAACCUUUCCCUCUCUGAAUUCACAGUCACCCUGUGCUCCACACUUUCAUAAGUAUCAUUGCUCCAGGCCUGGUUUAAUAUCAGUAUAAUUAGCCAAAUGGGUGUAACUGAGCCAAACAGUACUGAUAAGCAUGUACUUAUAAUUCGAAGUUCUUGGGUGGUACCUGAAUUAUAUCCCCAACAUUGAUGAUAUAAGCAUCUGGGGUGGGCUUAACUCGAAUCCAUUCUCCAUCGGUUUUUCGCUUUACUUCCAACCCUCCGACAUCAUCCUGAGCAAGGAUGGUUAAGGCUCCGCCAUCCUUGUGGCGACCAACGCCCAGAGCUAGGUGAGGGAUGGGGCAAGGUGGGUAGUGUUUGAGGCGGAUGAAGUUCGUUGAUUCUUCAAAGAAAAGAUUGAAUCUGUUUUCCGGCAAACCUAAACUCAACGAGAUGAGUCCCAAUAGCUUGAAAGCUAAUUUUUCCAUUUCUCUAGCAUACUCUUCACAUACCUCCCUAUAUAAAUCAGUUCAA
Molecule: long non-coding RNA, 48989 nt
Filed under: Vitis vinifera (wine grape)
Lineage: Eukaryota; Viridiplantae; Streptophyta; Magnoliopsida; Vitales; Vitaceae
Description: long non-coding RNA (VVIN_LNC000686)
Source: RNAcentral